This 74478-nucleotide long non-coding RNA is filed under the name Lathyrus oleraceus (garden pea). RNAcentral describes it as "Pisum sativum (pea) long non-coding RNA (PSAT_LNC030352)". The record is from RNAcentral. Lineage: Eukaryota; Viridiplantae; Streptophyta; Magnoliopsida; Fabales; Fabaceae.
UAAAAACGAUACCUUCUCUCUUCUAGAACAACAACAAUUUAUUUACAAUAAUCAUAAAGUUUUAUUUAUCAUGUGGGAGGUACACUAACAACAAUGGACUACAUGCUAAAUGAGCAAAAUAGGCUUAACAUUCAGAGUGAAAAUCCAGUACUUAAUCCAAUUUUACUAUUUGUAAUAAUAACUUACAAAUGAUGAUUUAAGAAAAACAACUAUGGGUCGGUGCCCCCUAGUUACUUAACUUGAAAUAAAAACCAAUCACAGGAAGACAUAUGGUAAAGUUAAUUAAAAUGAAAAUAACAAAAUGACAAUUACCACUUUAAAGAGGAUGGAUGUUAAACGUCUUCUCACUUCUUGCUUUACGGCUUCUGUUUGUUACUCCAACCAUAGCCAUAGCCAAGAAUCGAACGAAAUGCAUACGAAAGAUAAAAAUUGGUGGUGAUCGUUAUGUUAGAGUUGGGUUGCCGGAGACAAGUUGAGUGAUUCACACGCAGGUUGGUAGCUUGUGGUGGUGUAUGAUGUGGUUUUAUGUCGUGCACGGCAGAGGAGUGUUUUCUGUCGGUGGUUCAGCGGCGUUUGAGAGGGAUGGUGAAGGUUGUUGUGCAUGGCGAAGGAUGGGUCACCGGAAGUGGUCGGGGAAAUUGUUGAUGGAGGCAGAUGAAGGUUGUGUUGAGUUUUCAUCAGUGAGGACGAUGUCGAAGGUGGUGCUGAUUUGACGUGAAGAAGAUGGGUUGGUGAGAGGCAGAGUGUAGUUGAAAGUGACGAAGAAAAGGAAGACAGAGGUGUUGCCGAAAGUUAUGGUGGUUGUUGAUGAAAUCGCGACGGCUGGAGGGUGAAGCGGAUGACAGAGUAAGGUGAGGCGGAAAUUGAGACAGUGGCUGAUGAUGGUUGUGGUCGUGGCGGCGGAUGGUGAAUGUUGAGAGUGAAGGAGAUGAACAGUGGACUGAGAAAAAGCCCCCCAAAAGAAAAUGUUUUCCUUUAUUUUAAUCUGAAUCUCCUCCCUUUCCUUUUUUGCCAACGUAACCUUUCCCCUAUCACUAAGGGCACGUGGAGUGCUAAUACUGGAGAGAGAGAGAGUAUUUGUCUGCUGGGAGUGGUCCCUCCCAAAAAUGAAAAAAAUCUCCAUCAAAUCCCCAAAUAUCCAAUUGAAAGAUCCAUUUUCUUCAAUUUUUAUUCAUUCCAGACACUUGGCGUGCCCUUAUUGGAGGGGCUCAUUAGAUUCCUUUUUUUCUCUUCUAUGUGGCAGCGUGAGAGGAGGUAAUGGAAGGAAGGGAGAAAGAUAUUUUAAUGUUUUUUGAUUUAUUUAUUUAACCAAAUAAAAUGCUAAUUUCUGAUUGGUCAAUAAAGGAAAAUGAAGAUAACUCAUGUGAACCUUUGAUUAAAUUCGAAUCGACGAUCUAGAUUAAAUUGAAGAAGCGCACCUAAUUUAAAAUGCCAAAGUUACCCCUUCUAAAUGAUUUAAUUAAUUUAAGUGGGGGUUAAAUCAAUUGAAUCAAAUAAAAUUCACAACUUCUAAAAUGAAUAUGAUAUAAAUAAAAUAAGAACAUGGAAAAUUCUAAUUAAUGAUCCCGAUUAAAAUGAUAAACAAAUAAAAAUAAAAUGACUGAAUAUGGGGAAAAGUCAGGCGAAAAUAUGCUCGGAAAAUUAAAUUGAAUGCAUUAAAAUGAUCAGUGCAAAAUAAACUUAUUGGAAAAAUACAGCGUUUCUUUUAAUUUUGAAAUAAAUUUUGACCGGUUAAAAGGCUCAGGUGGUUCAAAAUACCACUGAAGAAGUCGUCAAACUUAUUGUAAAAAGGCUCAGGCGGUUCGAAAGUUUUUACCCGCUGAUUUUACAUGUACUUGAAAAUUAUUUAAUCAAUUUGUCUGUAUAUUCGAGAAUUUAUUCUGACUGAUAUUUUAGGUAUUAUUCAUGAUGAAAUGCAAGUUAUGCUGUACAACUGAUGCAAAUUGAAAAUAAAAUCAAAUUUAUGAAAAUUUUGAAAUUGCCUGGACAAAAUUGGGGUAUGACAGAAUGCUAGCACUGUCCAAGCCCAUGUACCACCGAAGUGCAGCACCAGUUAAACUAUCUUGGAAGUAUUGAAUCAAUAGAUGAUCAUUAUCAGUUUGAGUAGACACUUUCCUGGAAUACAUAACAAGAUGACUUAACGGACAGGUAUUCCCUUUGUAUUUUUCAAAGUCUGGGACCUCGAAUUUCACCGAAAUCUUGAUGUUUGGAACUAAGCAUAGUUCGGAAGCACGCUUGCCAAAUUAGUCUUUUCCUCUCAGGGUCUUCAACUCCUUAUGUAAAUCAAGAAAUUGAUCUUUCAUUUCAUCCAGCUUAUCAUACACGUCCGGACCUUCAGACGGCUCAGAAUGGUAAAUAGUCUCCUCAACAUGAGGCAAAGUAUGAACAAUAGGCGGAGGUACUGACAUGACUGGCCUAGAUGCUGGCAGAGAAAGAAAAGUGGGCGCAUACCCUUCAGGCACAAAAUUUGGUGGCAUUCCCCAAGGGAAUCCAGCAGGCAUAUCGAGAACGGACUGGCUAGCAGCAGCAACAGGAACAGUUGAUGAGAUAAUCUCUGAGAUGACAGUCCUCUGAGGAGGAGUUGCAGGAGAUGGUGACGGCUGGUUCUGACAGCUAUGGUAGACUCCAUCAACCCCGUGAGUUUGGAGAUUUCAUCCUACAACUCUCUAUUCCCUUGCUCUAGAUGCUCCAUUCUCCAUAGUUGAUUAGCUCGAGUGUUGUAGUGGUGAGUCAGCUCGGCUGAUACACAGAAGAAGAACUGAUAAGACACCUGGCGGAAUAACCCUGUUAUGCAAAUGAUGUAUGAAAUGCAAUGUUUUUUUAUUGUUUUUAAUUUUAAGGAAUAUAUGAUGUCUUAUUUGACAAUAUAAUAAUAAUUUAAUUGACCAUAAAAUCUCUUUCUAUUCAUAAAAUUUUGAAAGGAUUACACUGACUACAAUUUCAGACACCAAAAUACAAAUACAAGAGAAAAGGAAACUAUUAUCCUAAGGAUCCCUAGCAAAUGCAUCAGAUGAUCUGGCUAUGGGAGCAUACUUUCUGCGGAUGCGUCGAAUCUCUGACUCAAAGGACAUCUUCAUCUGAGUCUUCUCAAGGACAAGCUGACCAACAAUAUUCUUCCAAGCACCGGAAGCCUGAGGCAUGCUAGAGGAAAAUAAAUCCUCUGGCUCUCUAUGUCUCUUCAUUUCACGCUUUUCAAGAAUCUCAAUAAGUGCAUUUUUGUCUUUUGAGUCAAGUUUCAACUCUUCAUGCUUUCGGCUCAAAGCAUGGAAUCUCUCUUCCCACAUAUCUUUCUCUUGCUUCAUCUUGGCGAGUGCGUCUUCCAACUCCUCUACAUCUUGGUUAGGGAGAGUAGAUGGCUCAGCCACAACCAAAGACAUAGGUCUUUCAUAAACGUACGACAUCUUCAGCUUCAAAGCUCCCUUCUUUACCCAAAUAACAUAAGCUUCCAAAGCUGCACAGUUUCGUGGACCAAGCUCGAAUCUUCCUUUCCUAUGCAUAUUAUGCCAAGCAUGCGCCAUCCUUUUCUUCAAAGGUUGGGGAUCUUCACCCUCCUGAUAUAAUAGACCCUCUAACUGAACGUUAUUAGGCUUAUCUCUCAAGGGGGACCCAAGUAGACGACGAGCCAAAGCAGGGUUAUAGUUGAUUCCUCCUUGUGUCCCAAUGAAAGGCACAUUAGAGAAUUCACCACAACUAUGAAUAAUAUCCAAGCUACCCAAUACAGGAUCAUACCAAAUAAUAUCAUCAUUAGUGAGAGACAUAAGUCUCUGAGACCACUGUAGACAUUGUCGGUUCUCCAAGAAAGUAGGUGUCUGAGGCAAGUGCGAAAUAAACCACUUGUACAAGAGACGAACACAACACACAAUAGUCCCACCACCUUUAUAAUUCCUUAAAUGCAAAGAGAAAUACAUGUCACCCAAUUGGGUAGGAACAUGAAUUAUAAUCAAGAAGAUUUUAAUGCCGUUAACAUCAACAAAGCCGUCAAUGUUAGGAAAUAAAGCCAAGCCAUAGAUGAGCAGAACAAAGAUAGCUUCAAAAGCAUCCAGGCUACCGGCUUGAGCAACAACAGUAGUUCUACCAAUGAGGAACUCAUAAGUCAACCCAAGAAUACCUCAUUUCUUCACCAAAUGAGCAUCAAUCUCAUAUUUCUUUAGAUGAAGAGAUUCAUCUAUGACAUGAGAUCUGGGAAUCUCCUCCAAUCCACUGAAAGGUACUUUGUUAUAUACGGGUAUACCCAAGAGAUGGACGUACUCUUCUAACAUGGGCACAAGAUGAUAGUCAGGAAAAGUGAAGCACAAAUAAAGAGGUUCAUAGAACUGAACCGAAACACUCAGAAUUCCUUCAACCACAUCAGUAGAUAACACAAACAAGAGUUUCCCAUGACGUUGCUUGAAGUCCAAGGGAUCUAAGACAAAGGAUGACAACUUCCUUAACUCUUUCAAAUCAUGACAUCUGAAAAUGUACUUCUUAGUGUUCCUUCGUCCAUAAUCCAUGGUCUGAAACUAUUUACAAAUAAGACCUUAGUUCCCCUGAAAUUUAUUUUUCUAUGAAGAAUGUCAUGAUACGCAUGUAUGCAUGAAUGCAACAAUCAUAAACAAUGGAUCACACACAAGGCAAACACAAAUAAAGGUCAAGGGAUGAAUCAAGUCAUUAUAAAGAUCAAUCAUCCAUUUUGGUGGAUUACGGCUUUCACCAUAUCAACACCCAAGUUCCAUUGAUAUUGACAAGACUUGAUCAGAUCAACCAAGAAUCAAAGGAUUUGUUGUGAGUCACAAGCUUAAAUUCAGAUUAAGAACCAUCCCAAAGGAGUGUAAUACAAAUAAAAACAUGUAGAUCAUGUUCUAAGAAGUUCCCAGAGUCCUGAUCCCAUCUAUCGGAUAUUACAGGUUAGAAUAACUGACUCAUCAACCCGUAAUACUCUCAAGAGAAACUCGUUUGAGUGUAGUAUCGUGUAACAACUGUUAUCAAGUCUACACUUGAACAGUCUCCACACUACGUCCUAAAUAUGCCAAGUUGCGUUAAAUUUUCUACGGUCCUCAGCUUCUCGCACCCCCAAAUUAGAGAAAGUAAUGCCUAUCCACAAAUAACUUGUGUGACAUCAGUAACUCUAAAGAGGUCUCCAAUGAGUAUAUGGGUCUCAAGCCAACUUGUUAAGGACAACUCUACACAAGUUGAACAUGAAUAUAUCAUCCUCCUAUCUUAAUUGCACUCAAGUUCGGGUUAGAACUUAUCUUACCACGCUGAGAUCACCAAGCACAACAAACAAAUUAUAUCACACAAACAACAUAUACAAACAUCAAAUAUACAAAUAUAUACACAUAAAAAAGUAGGCUAAACCCACUGAGGACUACUCCCUAGCAAAGUCACCACUUAAUUUCUGUAGUGUUAAAUUCGUGACCAUCAAGCUAUGGAUAAACAUGACGUAGUAAAACCAGAGUCGCCAUGGUGCUUUUAUUGUUUCCAAAGGAAAAUGGCAAAAGUACGAGCAAAACCCAAAGAUAAGAAGUUUUCAAAACAAACUAAUAAAAUGCCAUAGAUUACAGGUAAGGGGAUUGGUUACACAGAGGGAAGGUGUUAGCACCCAAAGUGUCUUAGGUACUCCUAGGGAGCCCUUUUUGUGUGCAUAUGUUUUUUGGUAUAAAUGAUGUUUGAUAAAAUAUAGAGUAAGGGGAUGAGAAAAGAAUUCAUUGAUUAUAUUUUUGUGUUUAGCAAGACCUUCGGUCUUAUGCCUACAUACCAACAUAAAAAUGAGGGAUCAAAACCCCGUAGUCCAUGGUAAAAAUUUAAAAGAAGUUGAUGAAUUGAUAUUAACAAAAGUUUUAACGAGAAAAGGCACAAAAGGCCAAAGAUUUGAAUGGGGUUGUUAGUUCUUUUUGUCUUUUGAAAUUUAAGUCAAUAUGGUUAUGUUUAUUUACAAGUUUGAUUUAGGAAAAGAAGUUUAAAAAUUCAAUGGCACAAGGCCAAAGUUUUUAAUCAUUAAAACAUGUUUAAGUUUGAAAUCACAAGCAAAGAAGGUUUUUGAAAAGAGGGAGACAUUUUGAAAUUAAAGAAAUGGGAGGAUAUGAAGAGACUACCCUAAGCAAAAUUUUAAAAGUUAAGAGUUGAAAAGAUCUGACCAAUGGGAUGCAAUCCAACAGACAAGAAUGUCAUAUAGAAACCCAUUUUAUUUUGGACUUUAAUAAAGCAACAAGCAAUAAGCAAUGAUCAAUAUCCAUACAUCAUAAAGAUCAAGGCAUCAAAUAAAGAUAACCACAUUGAAGCCAACAUUCCAAUAGCUAGCAGUCUUCAGUGUCUUCCAAUGUAUCAGAUGAAAUAUUCCUCGAUCAACUCAGAACAAAACAUCAGACAUAAGCAAUAACAAAAUAUCAAUUAAAUCUAGAGACAAAGUAUCAAAUGAAUCAAAAAGAUCCAAGGUCUUGCAUCAGAUGAAAGUCGUUGUCAAGGAUAACUCAAUAUCAUAUGUUGGCAUUAGCCAAGUCCUUUAGCACAGGGAAUGUUCCUUAGUCCUAAGUCCAAAAGUUCAGAUCAAGUCCUAACAGUCCAACAAAUAUUUUUUAGGGUUUUUGUUAUUAUUAGGUAAUUUAGGAUCCUAAGACCACAAACAAAAUCAAAAUACACAAACAAAUAUAUACAAACACAAUAUAUAGCUCAAAUGAGCAAAGCGAAAAGGACUGAAACAUAAACAAGUUGCAUGAAAUGUAAAUGGCAAUGAAUGAUAAGGGUACUUGAAAUUUAAAGUGCACAAAGUAAAUGACUUGAAAGUAAAAGCAUAAUGAAUAAGAGUUAGUCAAUGGUUAGUCAAAUGUUAGCGUUGAGUUUUAAUUGAUUAAGUCAUUCUUUGGAUAACACUUAACCAUUCAUUCACAAGUAUGAAUCCUUAAACUAAGACAUCUCCUAUGAGAAGGGCUCUAACUUGGAUAAUUCAACAAGUAUGCCACUAACUUUCAUGAAAGAAAAAAAGGUCAAGUUUCCACACAAUUCCAUGAAGAAUGAGAGGCUUACAAUCUCACUUACUAGAAUGUUAUGCGUUGAGGGACAAAUUUAGCUCUAUGUUAAGCAAUCGUAAUUAGACUUAUGUAGAAGUCACAACUAUCUGAGGUCGGGCAAUAAAAAUAUAGGUGUUAAUGCCUGUUAGAGAUUUGGUAUAAAGAACCAAACUCCUAAAACAUACCACACACUAAAAGAAAUGAGGGAAGGACCUAUCUCAGUUUGGCUCAUGUUGAUUCAUCUGACACAUGGUAAUUGAUGAAUCAACUAGCAUUAGACAUGAAGAUAUUUAAUUGGUGAAUGAUGGGUGGGGAAGAAUAGGGAUGAAGAUGAAGAGGGAAGGGGAAAUAGAAACACAAAUAGAUCAUGAGAGGAAUUCCAUUUGAUCAAUAACAUCCAUUCAUUUUGGGAGAGAAAAUAUACAUUUCAUCAAUCCCCUAAAUCCAAUGGUUUUGAUCAAACAAAAGUCAAAUCAACCAUGACCAAGGCACAAACAGAAAUUCAAACAUCACAAGAUCAUAAAAAUGGCUUAACAUAAUUUUCAAGCAAUUAUUAAAUUAAAAAUUAAUUUAAAAAUAAAUUAAAAUGCAUUUAAUUUGGACAAAACCUCAAAUCUCUUCAAAACACCAAACAAAUGGCCAAGGGAUUUAUCAAAGGUCAAAGGGCCUUAGGCAAAAAAAUUCAAAAUUUUUGGAAAGUCAGAAGUAUUUUAAUACAAUUAAAAAUAUGCAUAAAAAAAUUUAAUUCAUGAAAAAUACUAAAAUUAAUCCAAAAAAUAUUUUAAAUUCAAAAUAUGGAAGAGAAAAAUAUUUAAAUAUUUUUGGUGAAAGUCCCAUAUUUUUUGUAUUAAAAAUGAAAUUUUUAUGAAUAAAAUAAAAUAAAGGGAUUAAAUGGAAAUUCAUAAAAUAAAAAGAAACUAGAAAAAACGAGGGUCAUCAGAUCUCCCUCAUUAAUUGAGGUGGCAGAUCUGAUGGCCAAGCGCGCGUGUGUUCCACCAAAGGUCCUAGUCAACGUGUAACACCAAAGGUAAUCAGAUCACAUGGUUGAGAUUGUAACGUGGAUGUGUGAUCAGAUGGCUAGAACCUUGCCAACACAUCACCAGAGCCCUAGCUCCUGUCAUCUUCUCUGGUGGACCUCACCGGAUUGGUCCACCACAAACCAUCACUAAAAUGAAAAGUAAGGACAUGGUUUUAAAGGAAAAAUGCUCAAGAGCUCGAAUCUGACCUCCAUUUCAUCCAAUUCCAAAUAUAUUGAAAGAUAAAUGGAUUUGAAAUUUGAGGUUCUGAUCUGAGUUGCUUCGAUUUGACCUCAAAGCAACUCAAUCUUAUUGCCUACAUUGGUAGGACUUCAGCCAACCAAAAGUCAAAUAGAAUGGUGAAGAAUUGAGAGAGAAACGAAGGCUCAAAGUGUCAGAAAAAUCACCUUCGGGUAGCUUGAAUUUGGCUUGAUCUUGAUCUGAAUUCACUUGGUUCUUCCUCCUCUUGCUUGCAGUGAUCAAUUGAGAUGAAAAAGGAAAUGAACCCUUGGAGUUUGAAUCUCAAAAUAGAAGGUGAAAUUGAAACUCGAUUUAAAAGAAACCUUCAAGGAAUUUUAUGUUGAGGUUUUGAGAUAUCUUGGCAAGGCUUGGGCAAGGUGUGUGUACUGAUCUUGAGGCAAUGCACUUGUUUAUAUAGGCAAUGGGAUUCAUUUUUGCACCCUUUAAAAUUUUGCCAAAAUUAGUAACAUUGGUGCAUGGAUCCAUGGGUAAUUAUUUGGGCCCAAUUCAUGAUGAAAUUCAAGUCUAAUUCAUGAAAAAUGAGUACUAAAGCAAUAACAUGUAAGCAUGCAAUAAGAAAUAAUCAUUUGAAUUCAAAACUUGCCAAAACAAACCUAUGAAAGAAAAACAUGCGCAAGUCCCUCAAUAUUUGUCCAAAUAAGGUGAUGUUGGACUUUUUGGAAAUGCAACAUCAAGGGGAGCAACUUUUAGGUUUAACACUUUUCCAUUUGGAGCUUGGAUCAUGAUGAAUUUUGAGGUGGAAGUUUGAGAAAUCAAACAUAAUUGAAAUUUUUCUAAGUACCAAGUCAAAUGACCACUUCUUCCUCCUAAAAUAACUUUUGUUAUGAGCUUUAAAUAGAAAUGAUUCCUUAACCAAAUUUUUAUCUCUUUCAUCCCUCUUCAAUUUGGUCACAAAUUUGACAUCAUUUGGAUUUGGCAUGAUGGAGUUAUGCAUUUUAGAAGUUUAGGAAAAUUGCUUGUUCAAUGAUAAUGGCCCAAAAUGACCUAUAAUGUUUCCGCUUGGUACAUGCCCUUGCACAUUUCACAAAGAAUAAAAGUUGUAUAAGACAUCUUUAAAUUGAUCAUGAAACUCUUAUGGCCUUCAUAUCAUAAAAAUUAAGCAAUUUAUGGUCCUGAGAAGUUGACCUCCUAACAAGGGCACAAACAAAAUGACCUAUAAUCUUUCACCAUAAAAAGCAAAACUAGCUCCCGAUGUCAAAAUGAAAGUUAUUUGGAAUGUCAUAAAGAGUAAAGUUUCUCUUGGAAUAAUUUUCAUAUGACAAAAAUUGUAGGAGAUGGGGUCUAGGGAACCCCAGUUUUGAUCAGUUGACUUUCUCUAGUCAACCUCUUUGAACCAACUUGCAAACUUGAAGUUCUCUUGAUCUUUAGGAGUCCUGGAGGAUCAUAUACGCAUAAGAUGAUGUAUAAUGAAGUAUCCCUUUAUAUAUUUGAUCAAUUGUUGAAGAAACUUGUUGAGGAAGUCACACAAGAUACCCAGAUGAAUUAGGGCUUCCAAGGCAAACAAGCUUCAAACUCUUGAUGCUUGAUCAAAAGGAUAAAUAAAUAUCAUGGGGAUCCAUGCAUGAUGUUUAGAACCAUUUGUGAAACUUUCCUUGAUUGAUCUCUUGUCAUGAGGGUCUCAAACCCUAGUUAUGAAUUUGGUGGGGGAAUAGAUGGACACACACGCACCUACAAAAGAAACAAAGCUACAUAUAUACAUAUUUUGGUAUUUUGGUUAGUAAACAAAGAAACAUAAAGUAUUAUACAAUCAAAUUUUCUUGGUGAUCUCUCCUAAUGCAAACCCAAUGAAUGAGGGGUAAGGAGGAUUCCAAGGUGUGAUCCCAAAGCCGAUGCAAAUGAUGAGAUAGCAUGAGGGAUCUUAGGGUCAAAGUUAGGGUCUUACUAGACUAUGUUCAGAAAGGGGUAAUAAUUUUAAAAUUCAUUGAUACAGACCAUCAAUGGGAUGAUAUCAUCACAAAACCGUUAGCUGAAGAUAUAUUUCUUUUUAUUCUGAAACAUUUAAAUAUGGAAGAUUUCCCAAAAUGAAUCUAAACUUGUGUUUCUCCUCUCUAAUAAUAAAAUAGGCUCUGAAUUUAUCAUAUGUUGUUUAUCUAGUUCUAGUUCUGAUACUUCUACAAGUUAGAUGUUAUCUGGGCUAGAAUCCCUCUAGGUCAGAAACCUCUUGGUAUUCUUGACUCCAGAAACAUCAAAAUGUGGUCUCUCAAACGUGUGGCUUUGGAUCUUCUAUACAGUUGUUUAGCUCAGAACUCAAUAGCCAAACUGUUGAGAUCCCCUUGAGUAGUGUGCAUAUUUUUAAGAUCAGACAACCAUCAUUAGCUGCAUUUAAUUUCCCCCGUGCUUGUCAACUCAUAUUUAUGGAAUAAUGCUUAUUGUUGUCCCCUCUUACUUAUAAACGUUGUCGUUUUGCAUGUAUUGUGGUUUUGUAUAUGUAGUUACCACAUUUCCCAGUUUUCCACUUCUCACUCUCACAAACUACACAAACCCUCUUGCGUUCAUUCUCUCUGCAACCUUCAUCUUUAUAGCAAUCUUCACCUUCUCCAACUGCAAAUGGAUCCUCAACAACAACAUGUCUAUGAAUACUCUCAGUAAAUGGAUGUUGUUGAUCAACGUGUUGAAGCUCCACAACAGGUUAUAACUCAAACUUCUACAACUUCAAUAACUGCAUAUCAAGAACCUCAUGUUCUUGAUCGCCCCUCUCACAUAAAUCUUGCCACUCCGUUUGAGAAGUUGGAAGUGCUAUGUGAGUUGCUGGUUGAUUUUGACAACCUGAAGAGAAAUGGAAUUGAUCUUACUGAAGAAUUAGAGAAACAAGGUUGUGGAAACUACUUCAAGAGGCUCUAUGGUCCUGUAUACACAUUUCUUGUAAAGAUGGUCAUCACAGAGAAGUCCAUCGUGAAGCUUCUGGACAUGGAAACUAUAUGGGGCAGAAGGAUUUACAACAUCAACCCUAGGGAAAAAUAUAUGUCCCAGGAAAUCAUCCCUACAAUAUUCAAUCAGAACCCAUAAGAGAAAACUUCAAAGAACAAGGUGUAAGACCCAAUUUUAACCCUAAGAUCCCUCAUGCUAUCUCAUCAUAUGCAUUAGCAUUGGGAUCACACCUUGGCAUCCUCCUUACCCCUAACUCAUUGGGUUUGCAUUGGGAGAGAUCACCAAGCACAAUUUGAUUGUAGCAUACUUUGAUUUUCAUUAUUCACUAACCAAAAUACAAAAAAUAUGUCAAUGUAUAGUUUGUUGUUUUUCCAGGUAGUGUGUAUUCUCACAUAUGCUCUAUCAAGCUUAUAUCUAUGGUUUGAGGCCCUCAAUGCAAGGAGUUCAAUCAAGAAAUGGUUCACAUUGGCUCUGAGCAUCAUAUAUGGGUCCCCAUGGUCUUCACAUGUUAUUUUGAUCAAGAAAUCAUCAAGAGUUUGGAGUUUGUUUGCCCUAGAAACCCUAAUUCAUCUGGGUAUCUUGUGUGACUUCUUCAACAAGUUUCUUCAACAAUUGAUCAAAUAUUUUAAGGGAUAAUUCACAUUACAUCAUAUUAUGAAUAUAUUAUCCUCCAUGAGUCCCAAAAGUCAAGAGAAUGUCAAGCUAGCAAGAUGGUUCAUGGUGGUUGACCAGAGAAAGUCAACUAAUCAAAACUAGGGUUCCCAAGACCCUAUCUCCUACAAUUUGUGUCAUAUGAAAAUUAUUCUAAGAGAAACGUUACUCAAAAUAACAUUCCAAAAAACUUUCAUGUUGAAGUCAAGAGCUAGUUUUGCUUGGAAAGUCAUUGUUUAUGGUGAAAGAUUAUAGGUCAUUUUGUCUGAACCCUAGUUUGGAGGUCAACAUCUCAAGACCAUAACUUAUUCAAUUUGUAUGAUAUGGAAGCCAUUAAAAUUGCAUCAUCAAAGUAAAGAUGUAUACUUCAACUUUUAUGUUUGGAGUAAGUGCAAAUUCAAAUUGCAAAUGCAUGUGCCAAGAGGAAACAUUAUAGGUCACUUUGGAGAAAUACCAUUGAACAAGUGAUUUUCCUCAACUUCUAAAAUGCUUAACGCCUUUAUUAAAAAUGAAAAUAAGGUCAAAUUUGUGACCAAAUUUAAUAGGUUUGAAAGAGAUACAACUUUUAUGAAGGGUGGAAGAAGUGAACAUUUGACUUGGGAGUUAGAAACUUUUCAAAUAUGUAUGAUUUCCCAAACUUCCACCUCAAAAUUAGUCAUGAUCCAAUCUUCAAAUGAAAAACUGUUCAACAUGAAGGUUUUCCCCUUGAUCUCACCUUUCCAAAAAGUCCAAGAUCAUCUCAUUUGGCCAAAGUAUGAAGGACUUGCGCAUGAGUGCAAUGUGAGGUACCAUUUGGAAGAAUGUCAUGAUCCAAUUCAACUCAAUAAUGCAUGGCUUAAUGCAACACCUUCAGCAUAACAUGUGCAGAGUUUUGGACCUUUGCCAAUCAUUCUUUGGGCUUUGUACACGCCCAUGCAAGCAUGCACACUUGAAUCGCUAUUUUUGGCAUUUGAAUGGAAGUGUGUAGAAAUCAAUUGCAUUGGCUAUAAAUAGAGAAGCAAUAUGACCAGAACUUCAUGAACACCUUGCCCAAGCUUUGCUACACUAAUUCAAACCCUCACUUCCAUAUAAUUUCUGAAGAUUUCUCUUGAAAUCGAGCUUGAACUUCAUAUUCUGUUCGGAAGUUCAAACUCCAGAAAUUCACUUCUCUUUUCAUCUCAAUUGGUUCCUGCAAGCAAGAGGAAGAGAAAGCAAUCAAAUACAGAUCAAUAUCAAGUGGAAUUGGAUCAACUCGAAGGUGAUUUUUUAAAAACUUAAUUUCUUCAAUAAUAUCUCAAUUCUCCACCAUUCUUUGUGAUUUUUGGCUGUCUGAAGUCAUAUCAAUGUAGGCAAGAAGAUUGAGUUACUUUGAGGUCAAAUCGAAGUAACUCAGUUCAUGAACCCCCAAAAUUCAAAUCCCUGUAUCUUUUUCUAUACUUGGAAUUAGAUAAAAUUGAGGCCAGAUUCGAGCUCCUGAGCAUUAUUCCUUUAAAUCCAUGUCCUUGUUUUUCAUUUUGGUGAUGGUUGAUGGUGGACCAGUCUGGUGAGGUCCACCGAAGGAGAAGAUCGGAGCCCUAGCCCGGGUGAUGUAUUGUCAUGCAUCUCAGCCAUAAGAUCCAACCGAAUUGUUUUAAUCUUAUGUGUUGCUUUUGAUUACCGUGUGUGUGGGAAAGUUGACUGAAGCGCAUGUGGAACACGUGUUUCCAUCCAUCUGAUAUGUGACCUCAAUUAAUGAGGGAGAUCAGAUGGCUCUCCUUUUUUUUGAAUUUCUGAAUAUUUCAUUUAAUCCAUUAUAUUUAAUUAAUUCAUAUUAAUUUCAUUUUUAAUCCAAAAAAUAUGGGACUUUCACCAAAAAUGUUUAAAUAUUUUCCUCUUUCAAUUUUUGAAUUAAAAACAUCUCUGAUAGAACCAACAUCGUGUGAAGAAGCUCUUCAAGACAAAGAAUGGAUUCUGGAAAUGAAAGAAGAACUUGAUCUGUUUUCAAAGAAUGAUGUCUGGGAUCUUGUACCACGACCUAAGGGAACCCAUGUGAUUGGAACCAAAUGGGUCUACAUAAAAAAACUUAAUGAAAAGGGUGAAGUGGUAAAAAAUAAAGCAUGACUGGUGGAACAAGGUUAUAGUCAACAAGAAGGUAUUGACUACAAUGAAACCUUUUCUCCAAUCGCCAGGUCAGAAUCUAUUCGUCUACUUGUAUUAUUUGUUGUAAAUUACUCUAUCAAAUUAUACCAGAUGGACGUCAAAAGUGCGUUUCAGAAUGAAUAUAUUUCUGAAGAGGUGUAUGUUUAUCAACCACCUGGCUUUGAAAACUCAAAAUGUCCAUAACAUGUUUUUAAAUUGAAAAAAUAUCUUUAUGGUCUGAAACAAACUCUUAGAGCUUGGUAUGAAAGACUAAGUUCUUUUCUUCUGAAAAGUGAUUUUAUUAGAGGCAAAAUGGACUUCACUCUCUUCUGUAAAAACAUCAUAAAUGACCUUAUAAUCUGUCAGAUAUACAUUGAUGACAUAAUUUUUGGUUCUGCUAACCUGUAAGACCCCAAUUUUGACCCUAAGAUCCCUCAUGGCAUCAUAACAUUGCAUUUGCAUUGCCUCAAGGAUCUUUAGCAUCUUGGUUCCCUUUGCCUUUGGGUGGGACUCCUUGUGAUUUUGCUUUGAGAUCACCAAGCAUGCUUGAAUUAUACAUCAUUGUUUCUCUUACUUUUGUUUACUAACCAAAAGCACAAAAAUGUGUCACUAACAUCUUUUGUUUGAGCUUGAGUAUCAUCCAAGACACUUUGUGGGUUCUAUUUAGAUGAUCAGUCAACACAAGGGAAUGGCUUGAGAUACUUCCAACAGGUUCAAAUGGGGUCUAUUCGUCAGUCAAAACGUUAAUCGUGAAGUAGCAAAAGUUUGUUCAUGAGCUGUCAUGCUCGUUAGGCGAGCAGAAUGGGUCGCCUAGCGAGUCCCAAGAAAAGCCACCAGAAUCACCUACGCUCAGAGGAAUUUCUUGAACUGUUAUGCUCGCUAGGCGAAGCCCACGUGUUUAAAAAAAAUAAAAAUAAAAAAAAUAAAAUAAAAAAAUAUAACAGAAUUUUUUUGGACUUGGGCCUCUCUCAUUUGAGCCCACAGGUCCACAAAAAUCAGGUUAUAAAUUCAGAGUUUCAGUGAAACAAAAGGAAACUCUAUUCCUAUUACCCUGGCAGGGAAAAAGAUAGUGAGAGAAGAGCUAACAGAGUUCAGAGCAACCUCCAGAGACUGAAGGGAACUCAUCGGCAAAGAACCAAUUCCCUCUCAUAUAAACCCUAAGAGUGCUUUGCAAACCCAACCGGGCAAUUCAAUUUCAUUCGAUCUCUCCAGUCAGGUUUGCCUUAUUCCCAUUACUUUAUGCUUUUAAUUUGAAUGCUCUGAAUGUAUGAGGUAUUAUGGGUGAAUUUGAUACCCUUUUGAUGCAUGUGUUUGACAAGAGGUUUAGGCCUCCUACCCUUGGUUGCUUUUUGUGAGCUUUUUGUGAAUUUUAAUGGCAUGAUUCAUGUGGUUACAUUUUGAUUUGGGGGCAACUCUUGAUUACCCUAUCUUGUUUCUCUAACCUGUUUGUUGAGUUUUGUUUUGUGAGGGCUCAUAUGACUCUUGCAGAGAUGGCUUGCCUGGUGUUCCACUUUAUUUGUGGGAUACCACCUGGAGGUUUAUUCCGAUUACCUGUACUGACUCNNNNNNNNNNNNNNNNNNNNNNNNNNNNNNNNNNNNNNNNNNNNNNNNNNNNNNNNNNNNNNNNNNNNNNNNNNNNNNNNNNNNNNNNNNNNNNNNNNNNNNNNNNNNNNNNNNNNNNNNNNNNNNNNNNNNNNNNNNNNNNNNNNNNNNNNNNNNNNNNNNNNNNNNNNNNNNNNNNNNNNNNNNNNNNNNNNNNNNNNNNNNNNNNNNNNNNNNNNNNNNNNNNNNNNNNNNNNNNNNNNNNNNNNNNNNNNNNNNNNNNNNNNNNNNNNNNNNNNNNNNNNNNNNNNNNNNNNNNNNNNNNNNNNNNNNNNNNNNNNNNNNNNNNNNNNNNNNNNNNNNNNNNNNNNNNNNNNNNNNNNNNNNNNNNNNNNNNNNNNNNNNNNNNNNNNNNNNNNNNNNNNNNNNNNNNNNNNNNNNNNNNNNNNNNNNNNNNNNNNNNNNNNNNNNNNNNNNNNNNNNNNNNNNNNNNNNNNNNNNNNNNNNNNNNNNNNNNNNNNNNNNNNNNNNNNNNNNNNNNNNNNNNNNNNNNNNNNNNNNNNNNNNNNNNNNNNNNNNNNNNNNNNNNNNNNNNNNNNNNNNNNNNNNNNNNNNNNNNNNNNNNNNNNNNNNNNNNNNNNNNNNNNNNNNNNNNNNNNNNNNNNNNNNNNNNNNNNNNNNNNNNNNNNNNNNNNNNNNNNNNNNNNNNNNNNNNNNNNNNNNNNNNNNNNNNNNNNNNNNNNNNNNNNNNNNNNNNNNNNNNNNNNNNNNNNNNNNNNNNNNNNNNNNNNNNNNNNNNNNNNNNNNNNNNNNNNNNNNNNNNNNNNNNNNNNNNNNNNNNNNNNNNNNNNNNNNNNNNNNNNNNNNNNNNNNNNNNNNNNNNNNNNNNNNNNNNNNNNNNNNNNNNNNNNNNNNNNNNNNNNNNNNNNNNNNNNNNNNNNNNNNNNNNNNNNNNNNNNNNNNNNNNNNNNNNNNNNNNNNNNNNNNNNNNNNNNNNNNNNNNNNNNNNNNNNNNNNNNNNNNNNNNNNNNNNNNNNNNNNNNNNNNNNNNNNNNNNNNNNNNNNNNNNNNNNNNNNNNNNNNNNNNNNNNNNNNNNNNNNNNNNNNNNNNNNNNNNNNNNNNNNNNNNNNNNNNNNNNNNNNNNNNNNNNNNNNNNNNNNNNNNNNNNNNNNNNNNNNNNNNNNNNNNNNNNNNNNNNNNNNNNNNNNNNNNNNNNNNNNNNNNNNNNNNNNNNNNNNNNNNNNNNNNNNNNNNNNNNNNNNNNNNNNNNNNNNNNNNNNNNNNNNNNNNNNNNNNNNNNNNNNNNNNNNNNNNNNNNNNNNNNNNNNNNNNNNNNNNNNNNNNNNNNNNNNNNNNNNNNNNNNNNNNNNNNNNNNNNNNNNNNNNNNNNNNNNNNNNNNNNNNNNNNNNNNNNNNNNNNNNNNNNNNNNNNNNNNNNNNNNNNNNNNNNNNNNNNNNNNNNNNNNNNNNNNNNNNNNNNNNNNNNNNNNNNNNNNNNNNNNNNNNNNNNNNNNNNNNNNNNNNNNNNNNNNNNNNNNNNNNNNNNNNNNNNNNNNNNNNNNNNNNNNNNNNNNNNNNNNNNNNNNNNNNNNNNNNNNNNNNNNNNNNNNNNNNNNNNNNNNNNNNNNNNNNNNNNNNNNNNNNNNNNNNNNNNNNNNNNNNNNNNNNNNNNNNNNNNNNNNNNNNNNNNNNNNNNNNNNNNNNNNNNNNNNNNNNNNNNNNNNNNNNNNNNNNNNNNNNNNNNNNNNNNNNNNNNNNNNNNNNNNNNNNNNNNNNNNNNNNNNNNNNNNNNNNNNNNNNNNNNNNNNNNNNNNNNNNNNNNNNNNNNNNNNNNNNNNNNNNNNNNNNNNNNNNNNNNNNNNNNNNNNNNNNNNNNNNNNNNNNNNNNNNNNNNNNNNNNNNNNNNNNNNNNNNNNNNNNNNNNNNNNNNNNNNNNNNNNNNNNNNNNNNNNNNNNNNNNNNNNNNNNNNNNNNNNNNNNNNNNNNNNNNNNNNNNNNNNNNNNNNNNNNNNNNNNNNNNNNNNNNNNNNNNNNNNNNNNNNNNNNNGAGAGGAGAUUAUGACAUGCCACGAGAGGCUAUACGAAACCUAAGAAAUCGAUAACAUGGGGAAAAGUAAAGGGAUCGAGAGAUCUACCGUACGGAUAAAGAUCGAAGUAACAGCAAUUAGAUAAAUAAGAACCCAAAGACUCUUCCAGCUAGCACCAUCAAAGAAAGUGAGUCAGUACAGGUAAUCGGAAUAAACCUCCAGGUGGUAUCCCACAAUAAAGUGGAACACCAGGCAAGCCAUCUCUACAAUAGUCAUAUGAGCCCUCACAAAAUAAAACUCAACAACAGGUUAGAGAAACAAGAUAGGGUAAUCAAGAGUUGCCCCAAAUCAAAAUGUAACCACAUGAAUCAUGCCAUUAAAAUUCACAAAAGCUCACAAAAAGCAACCAAGGGUAGGAGGCCUAAACCUCUUGUCAAACACAUGCAUCAAAAGGGUAUCAAAUUCACCCAUAAUACCUCAUACAUUCAGAGCAUUCAAAUUAAAAGCAUAAAGUAAUGGGAAUAAGGCAAACCUGACUGGAGAGAUCGAAUGAAAUGAAUUUCCCGUUGGGUUUGCAAAGCACUCUACUUCUCAUCUAUGGGCUAGUAUUAUUCCCCAACAUCGACAAGUUUGUGGAUGUGAACGCUAUUAGGAUCUUCUCUACUCUUAAUCCCGUUCCGACUCUGUUGGGCGAUACCUACUUCUCUUUACAUGUGAGGAAUGCAAAGGGUGGUGGCGUCAUUGUGUGUUGUUUGCCUCUGUUGUAUAAGUGGUUUAUUUCUCACUUACCUCAGACAAUCGCUUUCCAGGAGAACAAGGAAUGUCUACGGUGGUCCACGAGACUUAUGUCUCUCACUAAUGAUGAUAUCUCUUGGUAUAACCAUGUGUAUGAUGGUGUGCAGAUUAUUGAUUCUUGUGGCGAAUUCUCCAAUGUGCCUCUUCUUGGUACAUGUGGUGGGAUUAACUACAACCCUGUUUUGGCGCGUUGUCAGCUUGGGUUCCCCCUAAAGGAUAAACCUAAUAACAUUCUGUUAGAAGGUGUAUUCUUUCAGGAUGGUAAAGAUCCCCAAGGCUUGAAAGCUAGGAUGGUCCGCGCUUGGCACAAGAUUCAUAGGAAAGGAAGGAAAGAGUUGGGUCCUAAGAAUUGCAUCGCUUUGGAGCCUUACACUGUUUGGGUUAGGAAGAGGGCGUCUGAGUAUCUCAUGCCUUACGAGUAUCCGAGACCUACACCUAUGAUUAUGGCUGGGCCUUCAACCCUCCCUAAUCAAGGAGUAGAGGAGUUGAGAGACGAAGACCGUUCACGUGCCUGGAUCCGUGAACGUGAAGAGUUGCUUCAGCAGAUUAAGGAGAAGGAUGCGUUGAUUGAGUUUCUUGAGCAUCAGGUUAUUGAUGACCCUGAUGAUGUAUGGACUUCUCUACUUCCUCAGUCUUCUAAGUUCUGGAAGAGGAAGUAUGAUCGAAUCGCCAAAGAGAAGGCCGAUAGGGAGGCAGCCUACGAGAGGGAGGUGAAGAGGCUUCGUGCAUCUUAUCUCCCUAUGUCCCGAGCUUUAGAUGAUUGUUUCUAGGGAUCCAUAAGAUGAUUAUUUUCCUUUUCUCUUGUAUAAGAUUGAAGAUGAUGCACUUCUUUCCCCUGAUAUUAUUUGAUGAGAUAUUUCCAUAUGUGAUAAAAUGCUUAAUAUUUCUAGAAUUUGCAAAUAAAACUCUAAAGUUCCUUUGAAAUAAAAAACAAAUCAUAUACACAAACAUUGCAUGCAUCAUAUGCAUAAACAUUGCAUGCAUCAUAUGCAUAAGCAGGUUUUGUUUCCGGACCCUUGCCCUGUGGUCUAACUUUGUGUCCUUCAUUUAUUUUGAAGACAAGCUGAUUCACCGAUACUACACUAGAGCCAAUAUUUCAAGACCAUGGAUUCACGAGGCAGGCGCCGUGACGUCCACCCUACACCAGAAAUUGAAAUUCGUGAAAAACAAGAAGCUGGUGGUGGUAGGGGGAGAAAGGGCUCNNNNNNNNNNNNNNNNNNNNNNNNNNNNNNNNNNNNNNNNNNNNNNNNNNNNNNNNNNNNNNNNNNNNNNNNNNNNNNNNNNNNNNNNNNNNNNNNNNNNGAACUUUGCUUUGCUUUGCUUGAUAGCAAUUUGCAUUGAGGUAUAAUUUCCUUACUCCAUGUAGUCUGGAAGACCUGGCCUGUUACUUGGCCAGGCACCUGUCUGAAGUCCUCCUUAAGAGGCAAUGUUUGUGUUUGUUUACCUUUGUCCUUGUACAUAUUCAAAGACCUCCUAAGUGAAGAGGCAUUGGCAGAUAUAAGGGAUGUGCAAUCCAUCCCCUACUAUUCUGUGUGUCAUCUGCUUUGCUCACACCACUGUGUUGAUGCAUUGCAGAUACCAACCCAAGAUCUUGUACAGUUGUACAUUGAGUCAGUGUCAUAUGUGUAGAAGGGUUCCCACUUUCUGAACCGACACAUUCUUGUCUUAAGCUCUCCCAGGCCAGGGAUAAGAGCUGUGAAGUCUCAUCUUCACCCACCUUUCAUCAACUUCACCCUAACUCUUAAUGUUAGGGUUAAGAGCUAACACUACCCAGUUACAGUGGUUUGUUUGUUGAGGUUGAUAUGACCCCUCGACUAAAACCUAACCUUGAUUGAGCCCAUUGCUUGCAUAUAGUGUGUGCUACUUGUGCUUGUGUGUUUGCUUUAGCUUGCUUCCUGUGCAANNNNNNNNNNNNNNNNNNNNNNNNNNNNNNNNNNNNNNNNNNNNNNNNNNNNNNNNNNNNNNNNNNNNNNNNNNNNNNNNNNNNNNNNNNNNNNNNNNNNNNNNNNNNNNNNNNNNNNNNNNNNNNNNNNNNNNNNNNNNNNNNNNNNNNNNNNNNNNNNNNNNNNNNNNNNNNNNNNNNNNNNNNNNNNNNNNNNNNNNNNNNNNNNNNNNNNNNNNNNNNNNNNNNNNNNNNNNNNNNNNNNNNNNNNNNNNNNNNNNNNNNNNNNNNNNNNNNNNNNNNNNNNNNNNNNNNNNNNNNNNNNNNNNNNNNNNNNNNNNNNNNNNNNNNNNNNNNNNNNNNNNNNNNNNNNNNNNNNNNNNNNNNNNNNNNNNNNNNNNNNNNNNNNNNNNNNNNNNNNNNNNNNNNNNNNNNNNNNNNNNNNNNNNNNNNNNNNNNNNNNNNNNNNNNNNNNNNNNNNNNNNNNNNNNNNNNNNNNNNNNNNNNNNNNNNNNNNNNNNNNNNNNNNNNNNNNNNNNNNNNNNNNNNNNNNNNNNNNNNNNNNNNNNNNNNNNNNNNNNNNNNNNNNNNNNNNNNNNNNNNNNNNNNNNNNNNNNNNNNNNNNNNNNNNNNNNNNNNNNNNNNNNNNNNNNNNNNNNNNNNNNNNNNNNNNNNNNNNNNNNNNNNNNNNNNNNNNNNNNNNNNNNNNNNNNNNNNNNNNNNNNNNNNNNNNNNNNNNNNNNNNNNNNNNNNNNNNNNNNNNNNNNNNNNNNNNNNNNNNNNNNNNNNNNNNNNNNNNNNNNNNNNNNNNNNNNNNNNNNNNNNNNNNNNNNNNNNNNNNNNNNNNNNNNNNNNNNNNNNNNNNNNNNNNNNNNNNNNNNNNNNNNNNNNNNNNNNNNNNNNNNNNNNNNNNNNNNNNNNNNNNNNNNNNNNNNNNNNNNNNNNNNNNNNNNNNNNNNNNNNNNNNNNNNNNNNNNNNNNNNNNNNNNNNNNNNNNNNNNNNNNNNNNNNNNNNNNNNNNNNNNNNNNNNNNNNNNNNNNNNNNNNNNNNNNNNNNNNNNNNNNNNNNNNNNNNNNNNNNNNNNNNNNNNNNNNNNNNNNNNNNNNNNNNNNNNNNNNNNNNNNNNNNNNNNNNNNNNNNNNNNNNNNNNNNNNNNNNNNNNNNNNNNNNNNNNNNNNNNNNNNNNNNNNNNNNNNNNNNNNNNNNNNNNNNNNNNNNNNNNNNNNNNNNNNNNNNNNNNNNNNNNNNNNNNNNNNNNNNNNNNNNNNNNNNNNNNNNNNNNNNNNNNNNNNNNNNNNNNNNNNNNNNNNNNNNNNNNNNNNNNNNNNNNNNNNNNNNNNNNNNNNNNNNNNNNNNNNNNNNNNNNNNNNNNNNNNNNNNNNNNNNNNNNNNNNNNNNNNNNNNNNNNNNNNNNNUUGUGCGUGGAUCCCGUCGAGUACGACGGAUGCGUAGGGGUGCUAAUACCUUCCCUUCGCAUAACCGACUCCCGAUCCCAUUCUCUUUGGUCGCGAGACCAUGCUUUUUCCAAGUUUACUCUGAGCGUUUCCUUUCCCCCUUUUGGGAUAAAUAACGCACGGUGGCGGCUCUGUUGUUCUUCGUUUCCCGUCGGUUUUUCGCGUAAUGCGACACCCACGCAGAGAGUUGUUGGUUUUCCACCAUGUAUUCAGUAGUUACAAACCCUACUUUUAUCCCCUAGCAGAGGUAACCUUUGUGGUUCAUUCUGGUUGAUGGUGGAUUUUGUGGUCUUCUACCUAGUAUUCGGUAGUUGUAAAUCCUAUGUUGUUGUUGUAUCCCUAGAGGAGUCUGUGCUUUCUUGUGGAUAAUUGCCGUAUGCUAGCAAAUUUAUCCUCAGCCAGAGUUUUGGUCUUCUACCCCGUAUUCGGUAGUUGUAAAUCCUAAUUUCUCUCCUUUGCAGAGUUAACCCUGUUGUUCAUCCUAACCGAUGAUGGUUACUCUUUGUGGUUAUCUUCAUCCAGUAUUCGAUAUUGAUAUUCCCUCUUUCUUCUGGGUAAUUGCCGUAUGCUAGCAGUUGUAUCCCCAACAGAUCUUUCCUUGGAUAAUUGUCGGAUGCUUGCAAUUUAUCCCCGGUGAGUUCUCUUUCAUUUACCCUUUUCAUUGGUAAUGAUUGUUGCUCCCUUUGAUCGGUCAUCUUUAUAUACCUAGUUUUGGUAUCCCGAUGCCUUUCUUUUCGGUUGAUUUAUCCUUUAUUAACCCAGUAACCGGUUGUAGAUGAUCUUCCAUGCGAGUAUGUUAUCCACGUUCUGACGGUAAUUGAUAAUAUAUCUCAUGCACUCUUUAGUCGAAGCCUGUUGUGUUUCCCCAGUCGAGUAAGAUUCGUAUUCCUUUAUGAAAUCGAAUAUUUGAUAUGUCUCUUGGAUAAUUGCCGGAUGCUUGCAAUUUAUACCCUGUGAGUUAUCUCUCGUUUACCCUGUUGGUGUUGGUAACGAUUGUCUCUCUUUUCGGUCGGUCACCUAUUAUAUACCCAGUAACUGGUAUCCCUGGUGUUCCUUCCAUGCGAGUAUAUUGUCUACGUUCUAACGGUAAUAGAUAAUGUAUCUCAUGCGAGUAUACUAUCCACGUUCUGACGGUAAUGGAUAUUAUAUCUCAUGCGCUCUUUGGGUUUUUUCCCCAGCUGAGUAAGAUUCGUUUUCCCGUUGCGGAGUCGAAUGUCCAUCCUGUAAGUCGAUUUGCCUUUUUCAAGCCCUCCUUUCGGAUGAUGAGUGUUUGGCAUAUAUAGCCAUUCAUGCUUUGGUCGGUCACCUAUUAUAUACCCAGUAACCGUAUCCCUGGUGUUCUUCCUUUCCUGCUUCCUAUUAUGACCGCUUGGUCCCCUGUGGCGUCAGAUUUUUCUGAGUCCGAUGUUAACUUUUUUCAGUCCUUCUCUCAAGAUGUUGUUGAUUGGAUAUCUCUUCAAACCCUUAUACCGGUCUUAGAUAUUCAUUCUUCCUGAGCUUGUUGUUCUUUCACCCAGUAACCGGUGUUUAGAUCACAUGUCUCUUUGAGUUUGUUACCCAGUAGCUGGUAACACCUCAUCUUGCAAAUUUUUCUCCAGGAGAGUCUCUUUGUUAGACAUUCCCCAGGGGAGUUUUUCGUUGUGAUUUUGCCCUUGUGCUGUAUUGGCGUUUUCCCCAAUAUAUGCAGUUUUCACCGGUAGGGAGAUUCUGUGUGAAUCUUUUUCCCCAGUCCGAGUCCGGAUGUUCAUCCGAAGUAUCCUUUGUGGAUAGUUUGAGUCAGAUUGAGUCUUUCCAAUAGGAUGUGUCUUCAUUUGGAUUUCUUUUUUCCCCAGUUUGAGUCCUUUACUCCCCAGUGAGGUCUCUAGUCCAGUCGUGUCCUGUUCACGCCGCGUCAGUUUCCCCUAAUUCAGAAUCGUGUCCUGCUCACGCAUUCUUUUUCUUAUCCCCAUGAGAGUCCUGUUAGAGUCUCUGUUCCUGGUGAGUGUAUUACUCCGAUGGAUCGUCUUUUCUUUGUGGACCAGUAUUCCCCACAGAGGUUAUUUCUUUUGCAUGCAUACAUUUGCAUCAUGAGGUCUCUUAGGGACCAAAAUUUGUCUCAUUACUGUUAUUUAAGCCCAUUCUAUCGCGUCGAGAUGAAGAUUUUAACCUUCAUUUCUCCGGCUAGAAUGACCUUAAAUAGGGGCAUCUGUAAGACCCCAAUUUUGUCCCUAAGAUCCCUCAUGGCAUCAUAUCAUAACAUUGAAUUGCUUCAAGGAUCAUUGGACACCUUGCUUCCUUCCCUGUGGGUGGGUUAUCUUUUUUGAGAGUGAUUCUUGAUCACCAAGCAUGUUUGCAUUUGUAUAUCAUUGUUUUUAUUUUAAUCACUAACCAAAAAGUACAAAAAUAUGUCAUUAACCCUUUGUCUUGCAGAUGAAGCAAUAACAGGUAAAGGCAAUUAAAGGCAUUCAUUGAGCAAUAGAUGGUGGUCAUUCUUGAGAUUUGGGCCCCAUGAUCAUUCACAAGAGUUCAUAUGAGUUAUGAAGUCAUUUUGAAGCAAAAUCCCAAAUGGUAGAGGCUUGAAUCUCAUCAGAACAUUCUCUGAUCAUCUGAAGACCUAGAAAAUCAACGGCAAAAUCAACUGUGGAUUUGGAGGUGGGAAGUGAUUAGAAAUACUUCAUUCAUCUUCAAACAAGUCUCAUUUGACAUUUCAAACACUCACUUUGAAGAAUUUGAAGUCAGGUCAAGAAUUUCCAAAAAUAGCAAGUGACCUGUAAUUUGAACUUUCCAAAAAUGGAAAGGUUUUGGACCAACUUCAACUCAAUAUUACAUCAUCAAGAAAGCUUCAAAUGAAAUUUUGUUGAACAUGAAAGUUGUAGAUCUUUCUCUCCCAUUUCCAAAAUGUUCAAGAUCAUGAAUUUCUAAUGUGUGGUUGAGGAGAUAUGAUCAAAUCAUGGAAAAGUGUGCAUGGGACUUCAAAUGAGCAUAACUUUUCAACCAAAGCUCCGAAAUGAGUGGUUCUUUUUGCAAUAUUCUCCCCUUGACCUUUAAUUUCCUAAUCAUGCAUCACAUUACAUGAAUUGUCAUCACAUAAUCAUUUGUUAAUCCAUGGUUUUUUUUGGAGGGAAAUUACAAAAUUCAAAAUUUGUGCAUUGUAUGAACUUUUUGCCAUUGCCAUUGGUUUUAGAAAAUGAUUUUAAGUGAAAAUAAUAGAGCAAGAGCACUGUUCACGUGUAAAAUGAUACAUGCACAUGAAAAAUUUGAAUUUUUGUAAAUUGCCUUAUUAUCAUUAACCAAGUUAAUUAGGGAUUAGCAAGUUGAUUAGUAGAGCAUAUAUAACUCUAAAUCACUAACAGAAUUGAAAGGAAGGUAAUCCAUUAUUUCACAUUUUUUCUGAUACGAUUCUAAUACGUACUCACUCUACCACUUUCAAAUUUUUUCUCUCAUUUUCGAUUUAAUGUGGCAGAUAUGUAUCUUCCAAAAUAAGCACUUUAUGCUAGAUUUCGAUCUAUCAUAGCUUGUUCCUAGGCAUUCAAGAUUGAUAUAGGUAGUCUAUAUCGGACAAGAUCUUUAUGUAUGUAUUGGAGAAUUCUGUCUUCGCGGCAAGAGUUGGUGCAGGGAUUAGGCAUUCUCAUGAAGUUUGAAAAUUGGAACAUAGUCGAGAGAUUAAGCUGAGAUCACACGUGUGCCUAAGCUUUAACUUUUCUUUCGAGCCACAACAUCAUUUCAAGUCAUUGUACAGUUCUGGCUUUGGAUCCUAUCAUAGUUGCUGAGGAUGCUAUUCAAAAUCAAGAACUGCUCUUCAAGAGGUUCAGUUUUCGAAUCUCUUAAUUCUCAAAUUCAUGUAUAUAUUCUGGUAGAUCUUGUUCUCCUAAUGAUUCUGAUCUAAAAAUCGAGUGAAUUGGUGCAUUAUUGAGCAAGAUAUGAGUGUUUAAAGUUUUGCAUCCAAAAAUGUUUCUCAUUGAUUCUCUUAGAUCUUGAUGAUUUGUGCUUAAAUGUUUGUUGAUCUUUGUUCUCCAUUGCAAGAGCUUCAUGAUGAUGUAUUUGUUUCUGAGUUCUGGAAAAAAAAUUCUGGAAAAGUAUGAAGUUCGUGCACUGUUCAUCUUCUUCUUCAUGAAGAAGAUGAAGAUCUUCAGCUAUGCAUCGACCAUACAGCAAUGUUGCGUCGACCAUUCGACAGUUUUGAGUCGACCAUAGCUGGCCUUGCGUCGACUCCUCUCUGGUUAGGGUUUUCUGUGAAACGGCGUCGUUUCACCUUGGCGCCACUUUUUUUGAAUUUGUACAGGGUUCGAUCCCUGCUGAACGCUGAUUUUCAAAAUGCUUUCAUAUUUUCAUCUUUUCCCCUCCACUUUGCCAUGCUUUGAUUUUAAUUUUUCCUCCAAUUUAGAAAAAUCAUAAUAAAUUGAAAAAUGCACCAAUUCAUCUCCAAUUUUUUGCUACUUGCUCCUCUGUCUGUCUAUUAUUUUAUGAUCAUAAUUUCCAAAUUUGUGCACGGCUGGAUUUUAUUUGGUGCUAGGUUGAUUGAUCAUAUGUCUAAUUGUGACCUUGCCUUGCUUAUCUCAUUGUGAAAUGCUUGAUUUUAAUCAAAUGAACUUCAAAUUUUGCAUGCUGAUUCUAGACACAUUGCUGGACAUUUUGGUUUUGGUUUGACAUUUUUCUCAAUUACCAUUUCUGUUUUAUGCAUGUGCUAACUUAGUGUGACAAUUUGUGUCACACCUUUGAUUGUGCAACUUGUACAAUGUGAUUUUUUGUAUGUUGAUCAUGUUAGAUGUCUUGAAUGUGCAUGAUUUUUUCCAAAUUAUUUGAAUCAUUUCUGUUUUGAUUUGAAUUUUUCAUUCAUGAUGAUCACAUAUGAGCUUUGAAAUUGCCUUUGACUUCACUUGAUCAUGAAAUGCUUUUGGUGAUUGAUUUUGAUGUGAGCCUUUUUAGGACUUGUCAAUAUGUGUUCNAACACUUCAGCAGGCAGACCAUACAGCAAGUUGCGCCUAUUCGAGGACCUGGGAGUUGCGAUCAGUUUUGAUCGACCAUAGCUGGCUUGCGUCGACUCCUCUUGGUUAGGGUUUUCGUGUGAAACGGCGUCGUAUUCACUUAGGCGCCACUUUUUUUGAGAUUUGUACAGAGGGUUCGAUCCCUGCUGAACGCUUGAAUUUCAAAAUGCUUAUCAAUAUUUCAUCUUUUCCCAUCCACUUUGCCAAUGCUUUGAUUUUAAUUUUUCGCUCCAAUUUAGAAAAAAUCAUAAUAAAUUGAAAAUGCACCAAUUCAUCUCCAAUUUUUUGCGCUACUUGCCUCCUCGUCUGUUCUAUUAUUUUAUGAUUCAUAAUUUCCAAAUUGUGCACGCUGGGAUUUUAUUUGGUGCUAGGUGAUUGAUUCAUAUGUCUAUGUGUGACCUUGGCCAUUGCUUAUCUCAUUGUUGAAAUGCUUUGAAUUUAAUCAAUGAACUUCAAAUUUUGCAUAGCUGCAUUCUAGACACAUGCUGCAUUUUGUGGUUUGGUUUGACAUUUUCUCAAAUACCAAAUUUCUGUUUAUGCAUGUGCUAACUUAGUGUGAAAUUGGUGGUCACACCUUUGAUUGUGCAACAUUGUACCAAUGUGAUUUUUUUGCUAUUUUGAUCAAUGUUUAGAUGUCGUUGAAUGUGCAUGAUUUUUUUUCCAAAUUAUUUGAAUCAUUUCUGUUUGAUUUGAAUAUUUCAUCUUCAUUGUGAUCACAUAUGAGCUUUGAAAUUGCCUUUGACUUUACUUGAUCAUGUUAAAUGCUUUUGGUGAUUAGAUUUUGAUGUGAGCCUUUUUAGGCCUUGUCAAUAUAAUGUGUUAUCGAAAGCUUAACUAAUUGUUUAAAAAUUUCAGCUCCUGUUUGAAAUUUUUUUCUCUAUCUUUGACCCUAGGACUUUAGACCAUAGUGGUUGUGUUGGCUUACAUUUGAGUUCUGAUUUCAGGUUUAAGCAGGUUCAGUUCCAUAGUUGAUGAUGCUUCAUAGCAUUUGGAGUAUUGAUGUUUGCUUUUAGACCACUAACAUUUGUAGUGAUUUGUAGGUUGAUGCUAACUCAUUGAAGUUGCCUUUGGCUUACACUUUUGUACAUUGGAUUGUCUGCUUGCUUAUUGACUGUUGUCUGUAUUGAUCUGAGUAUUGCUUACUGAUUUGGUUUAUGUUUUCCACAAGGUACUAAGUUGGCUUUAAGUUCAUUUUGGAACUUUGCUUUGCCUUGGUUGUUAAACCACUUAGUAUAAUCCUAAUCUUCAGGUAGUCUAGAAGACCUACUGUUAUUGUAGGGCCACCUGUCUGAAGCCCUCUUAAGAGGCACAUGUUUUGUUAUGUUUUAAACUUUGUGCAAGCAGGGAAAAGUCCUCUUAUGAGAGCAUUGCAGAUAAAAAGAGAUGGUAAUCCAUCUCCUGCGUAACUUAGUGUUGUCAUUCAGCCUUGCUCACACCAUGUGUUGAUGCAUUUGAAUAAUAACCUCAAGAUCUUAUAGAGUCAAUCAUUUGUGGAGAAGAGUUCCUACUUUCUGAACUCCCACACCUUUCCAUUGAUCAAAGCUCUCCCCUGACCAGUGGAUAAGAGCUUAAUGAGAACACCCCUCAAUCUCCAUUUCAUCUGCUUCAACCCUUACCUCAAUGUAGGGUUAAGAGCUCAAAAUAACCCAUUACCAGUUUGGCUGGUACAAGCCUAUAACCUUGCCUAUGAGCCUAAUCUGAUUGUUAUAAUAGUGUGGUGCUAAUUGACUUGUUUGUUGGUUAGCUUGAUUCAUCUAGUCAUAUAUUUCUUUAAUGUGUGCGUUUGUAGGCAUUAUCAUCAUUACUGUAUAAUCAUUUCAUAAAUACAUUGUUCAUUGCUUUGUAGAACAUUUUUGUUUUGUCCAGUGAGGAGUCAAUUGUAAGUCCACUCAUUGGAGUUAUUUCCUAUGAUCUGGGGGAUUUGGAACUAAGACCAUUCAUUGGCAUUCCUUUCCUUGGAGUCCGAGUGUAGACAUUUAUUGGCAAACUUGUUUUCCUCUUGCUUAUUGCAUUUAUUGUUUGUUUCUUGUGAGAGAGUAUCAAUUGUAAGUCCAGCUAUUGGAAGUUGUUUCCUAUGAUCAUUCCUUGAGAAGAACUAGUAAUGAAGUCCAUUGAUUGGCAAUCUGGUAUCCAUGUUUAUCUCAUUCGUUUUAGCAGAGAUUGUGUAAGUCCAUGAUUGGCAUCAAGUAUCCAGUUUCUACUUUGUUUUAGGAGAUUGGUGUAAAGUCCAUUGAUUAGGCAAUCUGGUAUCCACAUGGUUUCUUUUUUGCUUUUAGGCAGAUUGUGUAAGUCCAUUUGAUUGCAUCUGGUAUAUGCCAAUUUUGUUUUGGUGAGAUUGAAUAAGUCCAUUGAUUGGCAUCUGGUAUCAACAUAGUUUGUAUUUGUUUAUAGGAAUUGGUGUAAUCCACUUGAUUGGCAAUCUGGUAUCCAUUUUUGUUUUAGGAGAUUGGUGUAAGUCCAGUGAUUGGCAUCGGUAUCCAUCUUUUAUUGGCUUGCCUGAUACAUAUUGUUUACCUAUUAUUUGCAUUUGUCUGCCUAUUCUAAAGGAAUCACUUGAAUCAUCUACAUAUGACUCUCAAGAGGCGAACAUCUAAGAAGUUUUGCAUCCCUUAACCUCCCCCUUUUGUUUCUUUUAAACUCCAUUUGCAUGUUAAUACAAAACUGAAAAAUAUUGUGCAAACAUUCUUCCAUUUAUUUUUUCAAAUUUUAGAAACUUAGCCUUAAGCCUCUGAUUUUUUCAAACUUCACUUUCAUAAUACUUCUUUUAAAAUUGAAUUCUUAAUCAAUAACUUUUGACCAUCUUUUUGUGAGAUAAUUCCUAAUUGGAUUAAUUUACACCACUCAAUUGUUUUGUGGCUUUGUCCAUUCUUGGAUAAGCUUUCAUACCAUUAGCCAUAGGUUUAUUUAUCCUACGUUGGUUGAUGUUAAUCUUCACUUUGUUCCUUAGGUGAUUGAAUUGUAGACUUCCUUGCUUAUUAUAGGGGUAAACCCCUCACUAGCAAAGUUGAAGCUUUCUCAGUGGUUGGGACUUGUUGUUUGUGAUUAAGGUUGAUUUUCUCCCGUGAUUAAGAAAGAUCUUAGGGCUUUUGUUUAAAUGAACCACUCAUAUUUUGGAAAUCUUUUAGCCGAACUACGGCGUUUUGAUCCUUACCUUCCAUGGAAGGUACGUAGGCAAACAGGUUCAUCCGUUCAACACAAAAAUAAUAACUUGUAUAUCCUUUUCUCAUCUCUUCAAUCAUGUUUGCACAAUAAUAUUUCAUAACAAAUACAUUUCUACAACAAGUGCGAAAAGUCCCGAGGUACCUAGGACGUUUUGGGUGCCUAACACCUUCCCAUUGCGUAAUAACCCCUUCCCAGAUCUCUGAUCUUUUCAUUAGUUUUCUAUGUGUAAAACUUCUGCUUAGGCUUUUGUUCGCUUUUUAGCCAUUCCUUUGGAUAAAUAAAAGUGCGGUGGCGACUCGAUUCUUUGUAUACUUUGCUUUUGAUUUAAUCAAUAAAUCAUAAAGUGACGAAUACACCGCUACAAUAAUAUGGUUGAACCUCAAAUAACUUUAAGAGAACUUGUUGCACUUGAUGUCACUAAUCAUGCAUUGUGUAUUGAAUAUCCUGAAUUGACUGUACCGUUUGAACUUAAAUCAGGUUUGAUACAGUUGUUGCCAAAGUUUAGUGGUCUUACAUGUGAGGAUCCUCAUAAGCACUUGAAGAAAUUCCACGUAGUAUGUUUUACACAAGUGAAGCCCGAGGGAGUCAUUGGAGAUCAUAUAAAGCUGAUAGCCUUUCCAUUCUCACUCCAAGGUGCUGUGAUAUAUUGGUUCUACUACCUUGAACAAAAUUAUGUUACAAGCUAGAAUGAUAUGAAGAAAGUGUACAUAGAAAUUUUUUCCUGCCUCAAUAGCUACUUCGAUCUGAAAAGAAAUAUGUGCCAUUAGGAAAUUUGACAAAGAAUCUUUGAAUGACUACUAAGAGAGAUUCAAGAAACUAGUCUAUAACUGUCCUCAACCCGAUUAGUGAUCAAAUACUCAUCCAAUAUAUCUACGAAGGUCUGCUACCUAUGGAUAGAAAUAUCUUAGAUAUUUCUAGUGGAUGAGCACUUGUUGAUAAGACCUCAGAAGCGAAAAAAGAUUUAAUUUAGAAUAUGUCACUUAAAUCUCAACAGUUCAUAAUAAGAAGUAAUUAAACGCUAUUGACAAUAUGAGUGAAUGAGAUUCAAGUUUUUUCUACUUCCAACAACAAUCUAGAAAAGACACUUGAUGAGCUUACUUCAUUGGUAAAAUAGUUAAAGUAGGCAAAGUGUAAAACCCUAAACCUCGAAACUUAUAUAAAAACAAUCACUCGACAAUUUAAGGUGUCACCUCAACAACCGACCAAUAAAACUUUCAAAAACAUUUAACAACAUGUAGCAGAAAUUAACAUAAUAACAACUUCAAAUUGAACCUCUCAAAUAAAGUAUUAAAAUUUAAAAUCACAAUUCGACACCAACUCAAAACAUGACAAAAGUGUCUCGUCCCCGAUGUUACAAGAUCAGAGCACUAAACCACUAAAAUACAAUAGCACGAUAAAUAAACAAAGGUAAGCUCCAAGAAGAUAUCUUUCACUUACAGAAACAAAACUCUACUCCUGGUUAUCUGCAAGAGAUCCAUGGUGGACCAUAUAAAGAAAAGGGAUGAGAAUAAACUUUGAUAUAAAAUGGCUUAAAGAAUGUGAGGGUAGAUAAACACAUAAUACAUCACACAUUCAAUGCAAAAACCACACCAUUACGAUUUCACACCUUUUCCAUCAUAAUAUAUCCAUAUGCAUGAAAUGUGACUCACGACAUCGACAGUAUGCAUGUGGUACCAAUCAACGAUGGUUCUUCAUACAAACCAAGUUCACCGUUUUAAACCUUAACUCCACCCUUCUCGACUCAGAACAAGUUAGUUGUCCACCCUUCUAGACUCGUAACUCGCGUCUUUCACAACAGUGAAACAAAUGAUGUAUGUCAUACAAUUUAUGCAACAAUAACAACAACAUGUUUAUGAUCCCCAUUCGAACCAUAUACAACAUGAAAUAUAGCAACAACGCAGUUUCCCCUUCGAAACUACCACCAUAAUAAACAACGAUUAUGUACUCUCCACAUAAUUAAUCAUCAAUAAUCAUAAUAAUUAGUCAACAAUUAAUCAUUUACUCAUUCGACAAUGUUUAGAGCAUAUCAAUUCCCGUCCUAACGCGUCAAAAUCAUAAAUCGAUAUUAAAUAAUUAUUGGUUUCAGAAACAAUAACGAAAUUUUGAAUCGACACGUCAAAAAUGACCGCCCAGACUAUGACGGUCUGUUCUAGAGCCAUGACAACUGUCAUGAGGAUGAUGACCAACCUGUCAUCCCUUUACUCCAUCCAUUACCACUUCCCCUCGCUUGUCAUCACACAAAAAGACCCUGGAGGUCGGUCCGUCAUUCCGCUGUUGGGCGUCAGCCUCCUUUAACACACAGACGUGUAGCCUUUCAUAUAGGUGACGGUUGUCACUGAUAAUUCACCAUUUAUGUUAGUUUUAAUGUCAUUUGAAUACCAAAAGCAGGUGAAUUGUUGUGAGUUUGGGCAAUAGUUAAGCUUAUUUUGGAAGAUUUUUAUCAUGAUUUGAUAAGCUAAAGUUUUAGUGAUUCAGAGUUAUUUUGCACGCUUGAGGUAGUGUUUCAUGUGUUAACAGGUCUGAAGAGUAAAUAGGAGCUUGAUCGGAGAAGAAAUCAUAAGAUAAUGCAUGAGCAGGAGAAAAAAAGAGAAAAUUGCACAUCUCCUGCCCAUACACAUAAGGGUUCUCAUAUGCGUAUGGCCACUCAGUCAGACCCCCUAGGAUAUGCGUAUCACUAGGUGUUGUACCCCAAAAUUUACCCCCCUUUUCAUCUUUACAUCCAACCACUUGACUUGGGGAUCAUUUGCAUUCAUUCAUAACUCAUUCAUAUGUAUCAUUCAUCCAUUAAUGGAUCACUAUAGAUUCAAAGCUCUUGGCUUGUGAAGCUAGGGUUUGUCUGUAGAUCAAACUUCCAAAGUAUGGCUUGGCUAUUCAUCAAAGCAUAGGGGAUGUGAAACCCUAAUUGUAUGAUUUUGGAGAUAUGGACUUAACAAGGUUCCAUCAAAGCACUCCUCAAGGGUUCCAAACCCUAGUUCUUGAUGAUAUGAUGAUGGGAUCCUAUGGGGCUUCUCUGGGCCUUGUCUUGGCUAUCAAAACCCUAAUGGGGGCUCAUAAAUUGGAGAACUUUCUUGUGAAGCAUCUUGAUUGAUUCAAAGGCCUUGUUUGAAGGGCACGCCUCAAUGAAACCCUAAUCAAGGAGGGUAUGGUUCUAAUGGGCCUUGUGGCUUGACUCUCCAUCUGGUGACAUCCAAAACCCUAAUUUCUUGAUCUUGGAAUCAAAAAACUUCAUUAUGGCAUACCUUGGGUCAUCUAAACCCUAAUGUGAUCUCAUUUUCAUUGGUGGGCCUUCUAACCCUAGUUACAGUUGUUGUGUGCUUCACUUAUCUUCUCAUUCAUGUCAUGGCCUUGGUUUUGGUUCCAUUCAUUUGGGCUUGAGUCUCUUGGUGCUAGCCCAAGAUCUUGACCUUACAAACCUCAUCUACUUCCAUUCAUUCAUCUGAUCAUGAUCAUGAUACCUUUGUUUAUACCAUGGUUUUGUUUUUGUCUUAGUACUUUUCAUUCCUUUGGCGUUGCUUAAGACUUUAUGGUUUUCUCGCAUGUGUCAUCUAUGGUUUUUGAUGAGAUUUUAUUCAAAGCCAUUUCAAGCAUGUACAAGCUCGUUCAUUAAGUCCAUUUUAUCACAUGAUCAUUCAAGUCCAAAUUCAAAUCAUUUCAAAUAACAUGUUCAUAUGAUAAAUCAAUUCAUUUUCAUUCAAUUGGUCAAUCCCAUUCAUUUAUUAUACACGAAUUAUUCAUUAUAUACAAAAUGCCAAAAAAUACAUGUGGACCAAAUGUUGACUUUGGUCAAUAGUUGACUUUUUGGUCAACUUUGACCAAAGUCAACUUAACUCUUUUUCCAUCCUAAACCCUAAUUUCUUUAACCCUAAUCCUAGUCCCAAGGUUUCCAUGUUGAUUCUUGAUGCACCAUUUGAUCUUUUGUUUCAAAUUCAACCUGGUGUCAUCUUUGGUUACAUGUCUUGUUUAACCAUUCACACCAUGGUCAUGACUAACAAAUACAUACAUUAACCAAGUUCUCAAAGCCAAUAUCCAUUCAUGAAGUUCCAAAUUCAACAUUUCUAAUGAAAGGUUACAAAACUCCCAUUUUACAAAUCAAGAUACAUGACAUAAUGAAACCAUCCAUAACCAUGCUAUUUGUAACCAUGGCAAAAGGUAAAUUACAUUCUAAGUACAUUUUAAGUUAAUAAUUCCUAAGCUAACAUCAGAACAAUCCAGCAUAAGAGCAUAAGAGCUUAAAUGGAGAGGGUUACACCAUGACACCAUUGCCACAUGAUUGGAAUUAAACCAAGGCAGAAUACUGCCCUUUAUGCAUCAUCAACAACAAGGUCCUUUCAUUAUCCGUUCCACCAUCCUGCAACACCAUGGGAAACCAGCAAAUGAAGGCAUCUCCAAUAGGAACAUAUCCAAAGCAGUAUCACACAUGGUCCCUGGGUUAGCAAUAGAUUGUCACCCGUGUUCAUUCAUACACCAGUCAGUAGCAGUAAAAGUCACAUACAAAAGAAAAGAAUCAGUCCAUGGCAGAGUUUGAAUACUGGAAUUUGAGCCAACCACCUCAUUGCAUGCAUUUCUUACACUUCAAGCAUAACAAACCAUCAGUCAAACCAAUGCAAGGAUCAGAAACCAAACUGAAGGCAAAGUUACACACAAACUGAACCUAACAUAGAAAUGUAUAACCAUGGAUCUAACAGACACAUGAUAGGAAGCAUGAGCAGGCCAAGAUAUUCACAUUAUAUUAAUGCAAUGGAGCAACAGUCAUCACAUACUGCAUCCAGUUUUCACAAGCCUACAAUCACUAACAUUGAACCAGGUCUAAACCAAAAUGGACAGAUUUGCACUUCUGGCUCCAUGACCAUUGCUACUGUAUGAUACCAACCAGUGAAGCAAAGGUUUUUUUUUAAAUUUGGUCUGUCAAAUGCAAGUGUUACCAUCAAAAUACAAGGCCAUUAAGUUGUAACAGGAACCAAGACCAUACACAUACACCUGUCAAAGUUGUAAUGGACUCAAGUAGACAUGCAAAAAUGGCAGUGGUGCAGAGCAAAAAAACCAAACAAGCAUACCAUACAUUUAUAAUAAUCUAACAUCAAAAUACCAACUAUAACAGGUGCACAACAAAAACCCACAACAGCAAUACGUAGCUCACAUCAUGCAUGGCAACAUUCAGCAACACAAAUCAUAUAGCACUUAACAACUUGCCUCACAACAUUGCAUCAUCAAGACAUCUAAUGUACAAGCUCCUUAUGGAAGACCUGUUAUGACCCUAUGACAAGCUGCAUAGCCAUGUCAUACCAAUCAUCAUUGUCAUGCCAAUCACAAUUAUGCAAUAACUUAAUUGAUAAAUGAGCACAAGCAGGCCAUGACAGAUUUGGAAAAGGAUCCACCUGCACCAACAACAAAGCCUACAACAAGGUAUCAAGUUCAGGCCUAGCCAAUCAACAAAAUGCAUUAGUGUACAACCAACUAACUAACCAAGCAAUAAUUGGCAGUUUCUCACUAAUUGGAAUUAAGUCUAACAGCUAACAAUAUUUUUAGUUAUGGCAACUCACCAAUCAAACACUUCUCCUCAAAGCCUAACUAACAAGUGAAUCCAACUAACUGCCCACUCAAUGAGUUAACAUAUUGAACUCACUGAGUUCAUCACAACUAACGCCUAAGCUGAUUCCAAACCUAAUCAUAACAAAAUCCUAAGGAAAGCUGACUUCAAACCUCACUCCUAUAUAAUUCAUUCUCCAUCACCAUUUUGAGGACAUUUGGAUUGAGCCACCAUAUUCUGCACUCUUUGAAUUUUCUCUUUCUCUCUCUAAACCUUACAUACACACACUGAUCAGAAGCCGUUGAAGCUAUUUAUCAGAGCUUCAAUUAGCUUGUGCUAAGCCUCCUCAUCAAUCCAAACUCCCUUAGUCCACCACUCUCGGAUUCAGAAGAAGGAGAAGAAGAGGAAUUCACAGCCAAUAUAGGAGUGAGUAGUUGAAACCAUUACCUGGAAGUAGACUCUUAUUCCUCACCAUUUCGGUAAGGCACCAUGAAGAACUUCUUAUUUUUAUUUAAUAAUCGUUACCACCGUGUAGAGUAUGAUGAGAGGGUUCAAAGCCCUUAUACCAAGGGCUUUGAAUCGCUGUAGUGGGGAUUUAAUUUGAAGAAGCAACAUUAGGGUUCUUGAGGUUCUUUGAUUCGGUUAGAGGUGUGGAGGAUUGUUUUCAUUGAAAUUAUUUAAGAAUCCAGUUAGUGUGCGAGAGGAUGGUCAUUUUGGUAGCUCCAACUUGCAUUUUGGUGGCCACCGCCGCCAAAAGCGUUUUCCAGCACAGUGGCCCGUGACAGAGGGCCGACGAGACAAAUGGAAGGGAAUGGCAUGUUUUAACCAUUUUAAAAUUUUGUUGACCCUGGUGGGUUGGGCUUGAGUCAUGUCCAAGCCCAAUGUUUUCAUAUCCACACCCUGUGUUUCAGUCCGCACCUCCCCCUGUACAGAGGACUAGAAUUCGGGCCUUAGGCCCCUUGGCCCAUUGCAUUUUUUUGUUACACAUACCAAAAUCCUGCUGUUUGAGUGGGCUUCUCUCAUGAAGCUCAUUUUGAUUCCUUCAUGCACCUCCAACUCAGGAAUAAUACCCCCUGACCCAUUCUUUUAUUGUAUAUUAUUUCCUCUUAACAUUUGUUUGGCAUUUAAUUGUUUUUAGCUUUUUUAAUUAGGUUCUAAUUAGGAUUAAUCUAGGUUAAUCAAGUUGAUUAGGUUAAUUAAGAUUUAGGGAAUAAUUGGAAUAUUAGGUUAAUUAGAAUUUUAGGAUUAAUAGAUUUUAGAAUUUUAAUUAGGAUUGUUAGAAUUAAUUAGAUAUUUUAGGAUUUAAUUGAAUGAGUUUUUAGAAUGCUACAACUAACUAGGUUUAAUUAGGAUUAAAUCUUGUUUGGUGUAGGAUAAUUGGUUUAAUUAUAAUUUUAGUUUUAUUAGACUUAGAUUUUGAUUAGGUUGAGAAUUUCUAGAAAAAAAUUGGAUUUAGUUAGAAUAGAUUUAAUUGAGUGUAUUUAGACUUUUCAUUGUUAGAUUUAAUUCAAAUAUCAAUAUUUUGUGGUAUGACCAUUUUUCCCCUUAGGGGUUUAUUUUGCUAUUUUUAGUCAUAUAAUUGCAUGAUCCCCUAGGAUUAAUUUUGACAUAGAAUUUUAAUCAAGUUUUUUGACUAACUAUUACAUGUUCCCUUAGGAUUAGCUUGUGAAUAAUUCUAACCAUUAGAUUAGGAUUAACCUAGUUCUCAAAAUCAAAUCAAAACCCUCGACUCAAGUUGAUCAAAAGUAAUUUUGAUCAACUAAAUCUUUUGACCUUGUAUAAACCCAUAGUCUAAUUGGAGUAGCCAAAAGACCCUUGGUCACUUCAUAAGACUUUCCCUGUCAGCUGUGGAGCUCGAAGCCUCAAGUUAGACUCUCAAUCAAGAUAUCCUCAGUCAUACUAAGCAACAAAUUAUAUAAGAUAAAUCAAAGGUCAACACUUGGUAAAUAUGAUUCAAAUUGAAUGAAACGAGCCUUAAGUAAUAAGGAAUGAUGAGACGGAGUUUCUCCUAUCCUUGUCUAGAGCGACUUUGCAUACGGGGCGUAGGCCCUAGCUAUUCAAAGCAUUUUCCCUUAUUCAUAGACUUUAGUGCAAUACGAAUCGAAUAAACUACUUAGUCUUCUUCAUACAAAGCAACAUCAACAUAAGGAGCAACAAUGAAGACUCUUCUCCAAUAACUUGUCAGUUAUGAGAAGUAUCAUGCGUCAUGAGCCUUAAGUAAUAAGGAAUGAUGAGACGAAGUUUCUCCUACCCUUGUCUAGAGUGACUUUGCGUAUGGGGCGUAAUCCCUAGCUAUUCAAAGCAUUCACCCUUAUUCAUAGACUUUAGUGUGAUUCUUAUCAAUCAACUAUCAUGUCUCUUCAUAUUCUAUUCAAUCAAUCAUCUUUUUUUGCUUCAUAAAUCAUCUUGCUUUCAGCCCUAGUAGGUUGAACUAUGAAAGCUCUGAUUUCCUUAUUACACUAUAAGGAUACGUAGGCAGGUGAAUCCAGAAUCUCUGCGAGCUACCUUAUUUAUUAUCCAUUCUUCAUUGAUUUAAUCAAUACCAUCUUUUUGAGAUUAAAUAUCACUUUUUCUUGGAUUUUAUUCACAUCCUUUUAAGACGACCUAAUCAUAGUCCGCCUUGUGAACCAAGAGUUGUUUGGCUUAUUGUCAUACAUUUAAUUCCUUUAUUUUUGGUUAUUACAAUAUAGUGAUACCAUGCCUCGGGCCCCUCAGUUGUUGGUUCAUACCAGUUUUACUCUUCGGUUCAGAGUUUAUUCCUUCAUGGAUCUAAGAUACCAUUCUCCUUUGAUUUCAAAUUGUUUAUUCCCCGACAAGUGAUAUAUUUUUCCUGGUGCCAAUCAAUACUUAAUUUUGGGUUCCAUACUCACCCUUUUAGGACGCCCUAAUCAAUGUCCACCUUUGUAUCAAGGGUUGUUUGGCUUAUUGACAUACAUUUAAUUAUCUUUGUUUUCGAUCAUUCCACUGUAGUGAUACCAUACCUCGGGCCCCUCACUUGUUGGUCUGUCUGUUACCCUUUGAUUCAAAGCCAAUUUGCCUUUAUGGAUUCCCAUGUUACCAUUCUAUUGGUACAAGUUACAUUAUUUAUCACUUUAAUCACACUCCUUUAGUUGUUUGUCUUGUCAGUCCUUGUUGCUUAGACGAACACUUCUUUGUUUCUUUCCUUUGUUUUCGUAGUUCCACGAACUACGAUUGCUCUGAUUUUCUCAUUGCACAGUGAGAAUACGUAGGCACGAGGAUGCGAAUUCUUGGCGAGCAUAAUUUUCAUUAUUCCUCCUCCCGCCUUAGGACACCAUCUGUAUCUUUCAUAAUCCAUUACCUACCUUAAAUAAUUAAACCGUUCACCUCAGUGACAUAUUAUUUCUUUGAAACCGAAAUACAAUUUUCUUUGGAAUUCCAUAUAUAUCCUUUUAGGACGCCUAAUGAAAAGUCCAUGUUUGUAUCUAGAGUUGUUUGGCUUGAACCCAAACAUUUAACUCCUUCUUUUUUAGCCCAACCAUGCAGUGAUACCAUGUCUUAGACCCAUCACUUGUGGUUUGUGCCACCUGUCAUAUAUGGUACAAAUUCCAUUUCUCCUAUGGAUUCCAAUACACCUUUACCUUUGGUUUCAAAGUAUACUUUUCCAGUCACUUGUGACCAAAAUAUUCGAUUAUGUGACUUUAGACACUUCAUUUCGUUCAUUUCCAUGAUACAUUCAUAUUUUACCUUUAUUCACUUCAUGUCAUAUAUUUUUACUUUGAGCCAAAUACGCUAUCCAUUUAAGCUCCAUCUUGUGUCCCCUUGUGAACCAAGAGUUGUUUGUGCUGUAAAACCAAACACUUAAUUCCUUUUUUUGUGGUUAUUCCAAUAUAGUGAUAUCAUGUCGUAGGCCCCUCACUUGUUAGUUCAUACCAGUUUUACUCUUGGGUUCAUAUUUCUUCCCUUUGUUGGAGUUCAAACGACAUUUUUCUUUGGUUCAAACCAUACCUUGUAUCACACUCUUCACCUGCCACCACUAGUUCUAUGAGCUACGGAGCUCUGAAUUCCUUAUUGCACUAUAAGGAUACGUAGACAUGAGGUCCCCAAUCCUCACCGAGAACUAUAUUUAUUACUUUCUUUUCCCUUUAUUCUUUCGUGAGUAAUCUUUAGAUAUCACACCUAUUCGAGCGAGAACAAUCAAAACGGUUCCCAUGGAGUACCAUGGAUGUAAGGGGUGAUAAUAUCUUCCCCUUGCAUAACGUAUUUCCUUACCCAUCAUAUCUCUUUCCCUCGGGUUUUAUCGAUGUUUCCCCUUUCCUUCGGGAAUAAAUAAUGUUCGAUGGCGACUCUGUUGUAUGUUCGAGCAUGCAAUAUGUUCAGGUAUGUUCCCGCUAGUUUCACUAGGAAAGGGGGAUUUUUCAAGCUUAUGCCCAUACGCGUAUGGGAUGGCCCAUACGCGUAUGAGGCCACUCAGCUAGGAACCCUCGUACGCGAUUACAGCCUUAUGCAUAUCGCUCCAGCUAGGCCAUAUGCCCUACCAUGGGCCAUACACAUAUGAGGUAGUGAAAAAAUGACCCAUACGCGUAUAGGUGAAGGACAUACGCAUAUGACACGACCCAUAAUUGAGAAAGCCAAGAGUUUGUCUAUUUAGCUGGAAAAACGUGAAUUUCCAAUGGUUGGACAAUUUUUGAGUAGAGAUAACGCGUUUUGAAAGCUGGAGCACUGAAGAAUUCAUGGUAGACCAACAGUUUCAUGAACUUUAGUGAUUGAAGACCUCUUUUCUUUCAUUAAUUUGUAAUGUCUAUACUAUCUGUUUUAUUUUUAUUUACUGUUAUAAGUAGCUAAACCCCCCAAUGCUAAGGGGUAUCCCUGAUUCAGAUUUAUGAUACGAUUCUAAUUUUUAACCUUGUAAUGACUUUGAUUUGAUGAUAUUUGAUUUACUUGCAAUUUGUACUUUAUGUUUUCUCUUUUGGACAAAUUGAGUUUGAUAUGUGGUUAAUUUUUUGGAUGGAUCUCCAUUGUUAACGCUUAAUUAUGAGUAACUCAUAGUAGAUAUCACCUAGGCCUAGGGAUACCAUGUGGAAACCGAAAUAUUCUUGAUUAAAAUAAUGCUUAAUUUCAUCUGUAAUUCACCAUGGACAUAUCGAUCAAUUUGAAUGAUUAAAGAUUUUUUCACUAAGGACUUAGGAGUAAACACCAUUAAGAACCGAUAAUUAGUAUUAUUGAAUUAAGUUGUUGCAAGGGCAAGUUAUUGUUGUUGAUGAAUCCAAUCAUACACAUCCCAUAGCAUGUUCACUCAUAAUAUCUUUUAAUUUGUUCAAUUGCUUUAUUUACUGUAUGUUUCAUUUUAAUUUCUAUUUUUCAAACCAACAAUCCAAAACCCCCAAAGCUUUUGUUUAACUAAUCUAGAACCAUAACUUUGUAUCGUUAAGCAGUCCUUAAGAUCGAUACUUGGGAAAAUUUCCCUUAUUACUACCUUGACAGUUGCUCACUUGAUCCAGUUUCCAAUUAAGAACCAAGCGCCUUACAUGAAUGAAGAUAACUUCCCUGAUUCUGCCGAGAUAGCACAAGCAUUGCACAUGAAGAAGGAUUUGAUUAAGUCCAGUCUCCAAGUUAAGGGUAACACCCAGGGCCUUCUGUCAAAGUUCUUGUUCGAGAAAGCCACUGUGUUUUCCAAUAGUGGGAGUUGGGACGCCUUCUAUGCUAGCUUUUCAUUACUCAUAUAUGGCCUGGUAUUAUUCCUGAGUAUCGAAGGUUUCAUUGGUAAAACCUCCAUCACCAUCUUCAUUUCCCAGAACCCAGUUCCUAUACUACUAAUUGAUGUUUUCUUCUCUUUCCAUUGAAGAAACAUGAAGAAGGAUGGAACUAUCAAUUGCUACAUUCCUUUACUUCACAAGUGGAUCAUGUCCCACUUGCCGAAGAGUAGACCAUUUGUUGAUAACAUGGACGCGUUGAAGUGGUCACAAAGGUUGAUGUCAUUGGAUGCUGAAGAUGUCAUCUGGUACAUCCAUGAUCAUAUGAGGGUAGAACUUAUCUUCCAUUGUGGGGAAUUUCCAAAUGUUCCACUCAUCAUUACUAAAUGGGGUUUGAUCAACUAUAACCCUGUUCUCUCACUGCAUCGGUUAGGGUAUCCACUAAGGGAAAAUCCUAAAGACCCACAAUUAGGAGAACUACUUUUAGCUGAAGGAGUCGAGAAUCCGGAUUUGAUGAAGAAAGUGCGCAGAGCCUGGGGUAAGAUACAUCAUAUUGGGAAGAAAGAAUUGGGCAAACAGACGUGUACCACAACAGUACUAUAUUCUACUUGGGUGAAGUCAAGAGCUAAGAUGAUUAAGUUAUCGUAUCGAUGGGAACCCUCUAUGAGUAUCAAGACUAUUGAACCACUUGUUGCUACCAUUUUAGAAGUGGGUCGUCGCAAAGAGACUAUCAGGAAGUUGGAGAAAGAGAACGCCAACCUCCGGUCCAGUCUGGGAAAAGUCACCUCAGAAAGGGAUGCUUUAAAAACCAACCUCAGUCAGAAGAGAGAGUGAUUCAACAAAGCAGACACCGAAAUUUAGAUUAAGCAGAAUAAAAGAAGAAAGGUGGGGGAGCCUUGAAGGGAACUUUUGAGACCCUUGCAACCAACAAGAAACAAUUAGAUGAAGCCCAAUACUGCACAUGCAAAUUGGAGAUUGAUUACCAAAACCAGAUCAAGAAUCUGCAAGACCAGUUAGAGAAGUGUCAGAAUGGGUUGAAGGAAGAUUAAAGUCGUACCAAGAAGCUAGAAGUAACUCUUUCACAACACCAGAGCGAUCUCGAUAAAAUGUUUGAGGAGAUUCGAGAACUGAAGGGUCAAGCACAUCGAAGUUUGGAAGAUAGGAACCAGUUGAAGGAUGAAGUUACUCAGUGGGAGAUCCGCAGUCGUCACCUGCAGGUUCUCCUGGAUCAUAAGGAGGCGUUUGUACACGAUCUCUUAAGUGGACCUAAUCAUUCCCUAUUGUACAACCUUGUCAAGGAUGCACAGUACUGGAAUGACAUACAUGCACGCCUGAUCAAGUUUGUCGACCAUGCGCUUGAGGACCUUCCUGGAUUGCUGAAGAAGGCAUAUGCUGACAUGUUCCCUCACAACACUCCAUGGGCUGUUUUGCAUUUUGUAUCAGUGUGUAGGGUUGUAUUUGAAAGGAUCGAAGUUGAUCUUCUUGUAGUUCAUUGAAUAGAUUUUGAGUUGUAAUGAUUUGUACUAUUGAUUCUUCAAAUGAAUAAAAGAUAUUUUUAUUGAAAUACUUCUGUUGUCUUACUCCUACCCACUGUAUGACUAUAUAUGCACACUAACACACUCGCACCCUAGAAAUCUUUUUCUUUUUUGCUUGCAUGCAUCUACACAUUCAUACACUCAUUACAUUUUUCUAAAAAGAAAAAAAAAUGCUUAUCAUAUCCAUCUUUUCACAACAACUAUGACGACUCGUCAUCGCUACUAUACUUAUGCAAACAAAUCCAAAAUCAUGGUUGAUUACGAAUUUGAUAACGCUUCUGUCAGGGAAUCUCUUGCUCAGGUCGAAGGUGAGAUGCACCUCUUCAGGGGCAACAUGGAGACCAUCCUGGAAAUUCUCCAAACUCAGAGGGCUUUUACCUCUACCAACCCUGUUGUUGCCAAUGUCUCCCAUGUUACUGGGGUGACCAAUGCUACUGCUGAUGUUGCUGCUGCCGUCGAAACUCCUAUGGAGACCGUAGCACCAACUAUUGUGAAUCAUCAAUUGGUUCCUGUAAGACCCCAAUUUUGUCCCUAAGAUCCCUCAUGGCAUCAUAGCAUUGCAUUGCAUAGCCUCAAGGAUCACUGAGCAUCUUGGUUUCCUUUCCAUUUGGGUAGGAAUCUCUUGUGAGUGGUUUGAGAUCACCAGGCAUGCUUGAAUUGUAUAUCAUUGCUUUUCUUGUUUUAUUCACUAACCAAAAGCAUAAAAAUAUGUCAUUAACAUUUUGUUUUGCAGCUUAAGCAAUCAUCAGGUCAAGAGCUUCAAGGAUUUCCUUUGUGCAAGAGAUGAGAUAUUUUUCUUGAGAUGAGGACCACAUGAUCAUUAUAAGGAGCUUACAUGAGCCAGGGUUUCAUUUUGGAGCAAUUUUCCCGAGUGGUAGAGGCUCAAAUUCAUCAAAGCAUGUCAAGGUCAUUUGAGGACCAACAAAGUCAACUAUGCAGUCAACUGAGGGAUUUGAGGCGGGGAAUUGAAUUGAGACACCUCAAUCAUGUUCAAACAAGGUCUAUUUGUCAUUUUAAUCAUCCAUCUUGAAGAUUUAAAAGUCAUGGCAAAAGUUACUAAAAAUGGAAAGUGACAUGUAAUUCAAAGUUUCCAAAAAUGGCAAGUUUCUAGUCCACAUUCAACUUGACUUAUCAACAUCAAAGAAGUUUCAAAUGGAUUUUUGUUGAACAUGAAAGUUGAAGAACUUUGUCUCACCUUUCCAAAAAAUUCUAAUUCAUGUUCAUAUGAUGAUUGGUUGAGAAGUUAUGGUCAAAUGAUCACAAACUAUACAUGGGAAUUCAAAAUGGCCUAACUUUUGAUACAAAGCUCCAAUUUGGUCCAUUCUUUUUGCAAAUUGCUCCUCAUGACCAAUACUUUUCAAAUGAACCAUUGCCAUGAAUGGGAGAAGUUUGUAUGCUCACUAUUUCAUUCAUGUUCAUUUUGGAGGGAAUUUCUACAAUUUAAAGUUGGCUUAUGGUACAAGCAAUUUAAUCAUUCCAUCAUGACCAUGGGAUGAUUUUAAGUGGAUUCAAACCCUUGCAUGAGAAAGAGCAAGUGCUACAUGGCCAUGCUAGCUCCAUUUGCAAUUUUGCAAGUAACUUGAAAUCUCUCUAAUCAUGAUUAGCACAAGCCUAAUUUGGAUUUCAGUGUCAUUAGUGCACCAUAUAAAAGCCAAACCCUAACCAUAAUUCAAAAAUAACAGAAUUUUCAGAUCCAAAUUCAAGAAUUUCCCUCCAUUUUUCUCUCUCUUCGAAAUUCAAUUUUCUCCAUACAAACACCAAAUCUCUUUGCAUAUUCUUGCUCCUGGUGUAAUUCUGAGCAAGAAUCAUCAUCUGGAUUGUUCAAUUGAGCUGGAUUUCGAGUAGAUCAAGUGCAUGAACAUGGAAAUGGAUUUCUGAAAUUGAGCUAGAUCUAGGUGUUUUCAUCCACUUCCUUUUGCACAAAGCUUCAAGAGGAGUAAAGUAGAGUAGAUAUGGAGCUGUAGAGGCAUUGAACACGCGUGAAUAGUGAACUGCAUUUCAAUUAAGUUGAAAAUCAAUCCUCUCUUUUUGCUGAUUUUUUGUUAUAAUUGUGUAGAUCUCACUUAGUAGAGCAUGCUGAUAUGUUUAGAUCUUGAUUUGGCUUAGAAUUGAGGUUGUAUGAUGAAAUGUAAAUUUUAAGCAUGAAAAUAUUUUCGUUCGAUCCGUGCAAUUCAUGAUGAUUUAGAUGAAAUUGACAUGAUAUUUGGAUUCCUGGUGAGAAACUGAGUCGAAUGAUGUACGAAUCUUGCAUUUCCGGAAAUUUUUUGGAAGCUCCGCCGUGUGUGUGGCCGGAGAAGACGACCGGAGCUUAGCUCUGGCGUCUCUGCAACUUGCUAGGGUUUUGCUGAUGUAUUGUCCACAUAUGCGCUUGCAUGUUCAAUCCGUUGGCUGUGAUUCAUUUGACCGUUCCACCCGAGCUUUGACUCGCCGAUGUAUGCUGAUGACACAUUAAUGAAAUGAUGCGUUUCAUUUAGCUUGUGUGGCUGCUGACUGGCUCAUUGCAUGUCCGUUCCAUUGGCUGUGAUUCGUUUGACCUGCUUGCGUGUGCUUUGACCUGAUGAUGUGUGCAUGCUGACUGUUUAGUGAAGCUGUGCGUUUUGGCUUUCAAAUUUGGCCCAUUGAUGUGGAUUUCGCGCCUCAUCUGAUGGCUGAGAUUAAUUCUGUUUAAUUUGAAAUAUUUGUUUUCCCUUCAUAUUUCUUUUGCAUUUCCAUUAUUUUGUUCAUCUUUGAAAAAUCAUUAAAAAUAGUAAAAUGCUCCAAAUUAACUCCAAUUGUUUUUCAUAGAUUUGUUUUGAUGUCUAGUUUUUUAUAGGAUUAUUUUCAUGAAUUGUUGUUUGCUGGAUUUUUAUUUUGUGAAUUUUUGAUUGAACCUUGUGUUAAUUUGACAUGUUGCAUUCAAUGCUUUGUGAAAUCUCCAUCUUUAGGCCAAUUGAUCUGUUUUUUUGUAUGCUUGAUCUUCACUCAUGAUAUGAUUUUUGGUAAUUGGUUUGGAAUUUUUCUCAUAUGCUAUCACUGUUUUUGACACAUGAAGAUGUAUGUGACAAUUUGUGUCACAUUUUGGACAUUGCAUUUGUGCAUUUUUGUUCACCUAUCAUUUGAACUCUUCUGGAUUUGAUUUUUUGCAUGUUGUUUGUUCAUUACAUGAGAGACUUGCAUAAAAAUUUCAUAGCCAUUGCAUGCAUUUUUGUUUUGAUUUGGAUUUUCUAAUUUGGAAGUUCACUUUGUGCACAUUUGCUUGCCUUUGCUUUACAUUGAUCAUUUGAUGCCUUUGCUUUUUGAAUUGAUGCUGGUCCUUUUGAGGACAUUUUAUGACAUGUUUGAACUUGCUUUAUGUGAAACAUUAGGUUCUAUUUUGAUCAUUUGGUUUGGUUUCGGACCUAGUCUUUGUACUAGUGUUUUGUACAUGAACUAACCUUGACUUGUGUUUCAGGUUUGCUGUGAAUCGUAAUUACCAACUCAACGAGUGGAAAACUCUACGUAAUUGGAUUGUGUUCUGACUUCUUUGUGUUUUGUAGGGAUUUAAGUUGAUGUGUUGAGCUCAUUGCUUCAUCUGAUUGCUUGAGCAUUGUUCAUUGAGUUGUGUACAGUUGGAUGGUUUCACUGUUUGUUUUCUGAUUUUUAUGUCUGAAAUACUAAUUGGUUAGCCUUUGUACAGGUACCUUAGUUGCUUGCUUUUAGCUCUUGCUUGAGCUUUGGAUUGUGGUUGAUACACCACUUAGGUAGCUAUUCUCUUACUUCAUGUAGUCUAGAAGUCCUGUCACCUUUUUGGCAGGCAUUUUGCUGGAAGUCCUCCUUAAGAGGCUCUGUUUGUGUUUGUUUACAGAUUGUGCCAAAGACCUCCCAGAUGAGGCAUGUGUUACUUGAUAAGUCCUCCUAAGUGAAGAGGCAAUUGACGGAUAAAAGGGAUUAGCAAUCAAUCCCCCGUUAUUCAGUGAGUCGUUCUUUAUGCUCGCACUACGUGCUGAUGCUCUAGAACAUGUACCCAAGAUCUAUGUCCAGUGUCUGUCAAGUGGAAUAGGGUCCCUCUUUCUGGAUCCCCACGCUUUCUUUGUCAUAAGCUCACCCAGGCCAGGGUUAAGAGCAUGAGGUCUCAUCCUCAUUUCCAUUUUGAUCAGCUUCACCCUAACUCUCAUUCUGGAUCCCCACGCUUUCUUUGUCAUAAGCUCACCCAGGCCAGGGUUAAGAGCAUGAGGUCUCAUCCUCAUUUCCAUUUUGAUCAGCUUCACCCUAACUCUCAAUGUUAGUGGUUAAGAGCUACAUAUUACACUUGUACAGUUUGGCUUGUUUGUUGAGGUUGAUAUGACCCCUCUUGACUAAAGCCCACCCAUUUGUUUGAGCCUCUUGUAUGUAUAUAGUGUGUGAUGCAUUGUUUGCUUGUUUGCUUUUGAUGUGUUUACUCUUGAUGUUUGUUUGUUGUUAGGAGUCGGAUCUAAGUCCAUAUAUUGGCAUUCUGUUUCCUUUUUGUUGUUAGGAGUCGGAUCUAAGUCCAUAUAUCGGCAUUCUGUUUCCUUUUUGUUGUUGGAGUUGGAUGUAAGUCCAUAUAUUGGCAUUCUGUUUCCUUUUUGUUGUUAGGAGUCGGAUCUAAGUCCACAUAUUGGCAUUCUGUUUCAUUUUUGUUGUUAGGAGUCAGAUCUAAGUCCAUAUAUUGGCAUUCUGUUUCCUUUUUGUGGUUGGAGUUGGAUGUAAGUCCAUAUAUUGGCAUUCUGUUUCCUUUUUGUGGUUGGAGUUGGAAGUAAGUCCAUAUAUUGGCAUUCUGUUUCCUUUUUGUUGUUAGGAGUUGGAUGUAAGCCCAUAUAUUGGCAUUCUGUUUCCUUUUUGUUGUUAGGAGUUGGAUGUAAGUCCAUGUAUUGGCAUUCUGUUUCCUUUUAUUGUAGAUCUCUUAUGAGACUUGUGUGUUUGCUUUUGCUUUGUGCUCGCUUAUUCCAAAGGAACUUACUUGGAUCAUCUCUAUGAUCUCAAGAGAGGAACUCCUAUUGUGGUUUCAUUCCUUAACCCUCACCUUUUGUUAACCAUCCUUCCAUCCUAAACCAAAACUUUUUGUGCAAACAUUUCACUUGUUUUCAACAUUAGAAACCUAAGCCUUAUGCUUUUGAUUUUCAAACUUUCUUUUGAUAAUACUCAUUUUGAAUUGAAUCUUUAAGUCAACUUUGACCUUUUUGUACAUACUUCUAAUUGGUAAAUGUAACCCAUUCAAACUUCUUUUGUGGUUCCAGUGUCCACUUCUUAAUCAAAAUUUUCAUAACCUUUAGCUAUUAGGUUUGAGUUAUCUUUGUGGUAGAUGUAAUACUCACCUUUGUCCUUAGUGAUGGACAAUGAGCCUUCCAUGCUUAUUAUAGGGUUAACCCUCACUAGCAUGUUGAAGCUAUCCUCACAUGGUGGACUUGUGGUUUUUUAGGUUGAGUUUUCUCCCUUUGAUAACAAAAGAUCUUAAGGCUUUUGGACCAAUCAAUCCACUCAUUUGUUUGAAAUCUUUUACCCGAACUACGAGGUUUUGAUCCUAAUCUUUCAUAAGAGGGUACGUAGGCAAUGGGUUUAUCCAUCCAAACAUAAAAUGUAAAUAAACUUGUAUAUUCUUUUCUCAUCUCUUCAAUCAUGUUGCACAAAAUAAUUUCACAAAACAAUAACCUUUGCAACAAGCGUGAAAAGGGAUCCCUAGGAGUACCUAGGAUGCUUGGGUGCCUAACACCUUCCAUUGCAUAACCAACCCCCUUACCCAGAUCUAUGUUUCUUUUACUAUUUUUGUUUGUAAAAACUUUUUAGUUUUUGGUUUUUUGUUCGCUUUCUAACCAUUCCUUUGGAUAAAUAGAAGUGCGGUGGCGACUCGACUUUGUAUGAUUUACCUUGGAUUUAGUCAAUAUCUCCAAUGGUAACAAAUACACCGCUACAGUUCCUUCUGAUAUGAAUAGGAUUGUUGCUGCCUAUGUGCAGACUGGGGCGCCUCAGGCCCCUAAUGCUCAAGCUAGAGGGAAAUUCCCUCAUAUGGUGCAUGCUGCUUCCCAAACAUGGCCUCCCGGUUUCUCUUACCCGCCGUAGAUGCUGUUUGCUCCUCAAAGUGCGCUUGUUUAGGCGAUGGCUCAAGACACUUCUUGACCAGCUAGUCAGAUCGUCAUCCCCGCUGCUAGUCCAGCCUGGUCAACGGAUUAUCAGUUGUUGGACGACAAAAUAAGGGCUAUCAAAGGUUUAUUUUCCUUCGGCAUCGACACACGAGAUCUUUGUUUGGUUCCAAACGUGGUACUUCCACAGAAGUUCACGGUACCAGACCUACCAAAGUAUAAAGGGUUAAGUUGUCCUUGAAGUCACAUUAUGAUGUACUACAGGAAAAUGGCAUCGUACAUUGACAACGACGAUUUGCUAAUCCACUGCUUCCAGAAUAGUCUGUCAGGAGCUUCUUUGGACUGGUAUAUGGGUUUAGAACACACUAAUAUCAGAUCCUGGAGAGAUCUAUCUGAAGCGUUCCUAAAGAAAUACACGUACAACCUCGAUAUGGCACCGACAAGAUUGCAACUAUAGAAUCAGACACAGAAAUCCAGUGAGACUUUUAAGGAGUAUGCUCAACAUUGGCGUGAGUUGGCUUUUAGGGUUAGACCGACUUUAUCAGAUAAUGAAAUCGUUGACAUAUUCAUGGGUACUCUUCAUGGGCUGUAUUUUGAGAAAAUGAUCGGCAGUUCUUCUACUAACUUCAUAGGCAUGGUGACUAUUAGUGAACGUGUCGAGAAUAGGGUUAAAUUAGGAAAGAUCGUAGGUACCAUCGCUCAUCAUACUACAAAUAAGAAUCCGCAUGGGGGCUUUACAAAAAAGAAAGAAAUGGAGACAAGUGCUGUAACGCUAAAUGUCCACCCCCAAUAUCAAUUUCCUAUGGCUCCCAUGCCAUAUCAUCCGUAUCCUUUGUGUGGCCGCCGCUCAGUAUCAACAACUUCCAUGUCAGUAUCAACCAUAUAAUCGCAAUCAGCAACCAACAUCGGCUCAAAAUGCUCAGAAUCAAUAGAACACUCGUGACUAUAAGGGAUAGGGUCAAGGGCAGAAUAACAUAGGUAACUAUGGUAGACACACCCAAUAUGACAAGAUUCCAGUACCAUAUGCUGGCCUGGUACCGCAUUUGAUCCAUGUGGGGGCUAUUAUACCAAAAGAAAUCCCUCAGGCUAUACCGUGCUAUCAUCCUAAGCAUAACCCCAAUGCCUCAUGUGCCUAUCAUGUUGGGUAGAUACGACAUUCAACAAAAGACUAUUGGCCCCUCAGAAAUAAAAUCCAAGAGUUGAUUAAUCAGAAGGUCUUGACUUUCUCAGAAGAAAAUCCUAAUGUGAAAACAAACCCUCUGCCUAAUCAUGGUAGCACAAUAGUCAGUGUUGUUAUUGAGGAGGAAAUUGUAGAAUCUGUAAAGAGGGUUGGUGAUAUGAAGACUCCAAUGUCAGUUGUGUUGAAGAAUCUUGAACAUUUUGGGUUCCUAGUUGGUAUACACGAAGAUUGUGUUGUAUGUGAGUCUGAUCCAAACAUUUGUAAUGACCUGAAGGGAUGUGUGCAAGAACUGAUGAAUCAAGGGAUGAUACAGUUCUCCAGAUCUAAGGAAAUUGAAGAGAUUGUAGUGAUCGAGCAUAUAAAUAUUAUGUACAGGAAGAAGAAGGUUGAACCUCCUCCCAAGAGGAUUCAGCCGAUCCAUAUUCGUAUUCCUGGCCCGUUCCCGUAUCAGAACACCAAGGCAGUGCCUUGGAAGUAUGAAACAAUGACAUACGUGGGCGAAAAAGAGAUUUAAAUCCCUGACAUUGAAAUUAUUAAUAUAACUGGAACGGGAUGCACGACUCAUAGUGGCCAUGUAUUUUCUCCAAAAUACACUCAUAGGGUGUCUCCAUCACCCACAGUUAUCCCGCCUAAGGAGAAGGUCCUUCCUACUCCUCAUCCGCAGGCAGGGGAAUAUGUACCUUCCACUUAAACCAUGACAAUUGUUCCAGUACCAACAAAGAUGAUUGUUGAUAAGACUGUAUAAUCUGAAAUGUCUAAGGGUAAAGGGCCGAUGAUUGAAGACGAACAGGUUGAAGAUCACAAGAAAAAUAUCACUUUUGAGGAAGGCCAAGAAUUCCUCAAAUUGAUCAAGAAGAGUGACUUUAAGAUUGUUGAUCAGUCGGGUCAAACCCCUUCCAAAAUAUCCAUAUUGUCUUUACUUCUGAGUUCUGAGGCUCACCGUAAAGUGUUAUUGAAAGUCUUAAAUACUGCUCAUGUGAUUCAGGAUAUCACAGUCAAUUAGUUUGACAACGUGGUUGCAAAUAUCACCGCCAACAAAUAUUUAGGAUUUAAUGAAGCAUAAUUACCUCCUGAGGGAAACGCCCACAAUAAAGCAUUACAUAUUUCAGUCAUGUGUACAAACUCUUUUCUAUCUCGAGUUCUCGUCGAUAUUGGUUCUUCGCUUAAUGUAAUGCCAAAAGCUACAUUGAGUCAAUUACAAUUUAAGGGCCCCGAGAUGAGAACUAGUGCACUGAUUGUUUGAGAUUUUGAUGGCUCUUGAAGGAAGGUUAUUGGGUAAGUGGAUCUACCUAUUUGUGUUGGACCUCACCAAUUCAGUAUCACCUUCCAAGUCAUGGACAUCAACCCAACCUACAGUUGUUUAUUGGAUGGACUGUGAAUUCAUGCUGCUGGGGCAGUCACUUCUACACUGCACCAAAGGUUGAAAUUCUUGAUUGACGACAAGUUGGUAAUAGUAUAUGGUGAAGAAGACCUGUUGGUUAGUGAACUUUCUUCGUUCAGAUAUGUCGAGACAGAUGAAGGGGUUGUUGAGAUUCCGCUCCACUGUUUAGAGUUUGAAGAGGUUAGUUUAGCUACUGCUAAUCAUGAUCAGUCAUCUGCUACCAUCCUAUCUUUAGUCAGAAGCACCAAGAAAACUUUGGAGAAAGGGACAUUAUCCGGUUGGGGUAAAGUUGUCAAUAUGGUAGAGAAGCGUGACCGAUUUGGUAUUGGCUAUCGUUCGUUAGCUCACAAGGCAAACCCAAAGAAGAAGCAGUUCAACCCGGUCAAAUUCAGUAGCGCAGGCUUCCAAGGCGAUCAUACCAUGGUAGUCAUUGGAGAAUCGAGUGGCAGAAAAUCGGAGACUUCCAGUCUUGUACGCAAAUGUCCUCUAGGAUUCAAGCUCACCAACUGGAUAACUUCUGUGAUUCCUAUAGUGUAUUCAGAGAAAAUGUAAUGCAUUUUGUUUUCUUAAUCCCUUGCUUUCUCCCGUGACAAGAUGAUAUCUUGUAAGGUCCUCCAUGUUUAAAAGUAUUAUGUGAUUAAAUAAAGAAAGUACUUUUUGCAUGCAAAGUUUGUGUUCCUUUUCUUUAAGUUAUUUUUACUUUUUCACAAAAACGAAAUGACAAAAGUUUCUUUUUCUUUUUCCACUUUAUUAACCAAGUUGAAGAUGAUAGUGAGGAAGAUUAUGAAUUAUCGGCUGAACUAGCACGGCUCCUUGAGCACAAAGAAAAAGAGAUUCAGCCAUAUAAAGAACCAAUAGAUGUCAUUAAUUUGGGUUCUAAAACCGAUAAAAAAGAAGUAAAGAUUGGGGCAUCUCUUGCCAAACAUGUACACUCCGAGUUGGUCAAGUUAUUACAUGAAUAUGUUGAUGUCUUCGCUUGGUCAUAUCAAGAUAUUCCAGGGUUAGACACCAACAUCAUUGAACAUCACUUACCACUCAAGCCUGAUUGUCCUCCCGUCAAGCAAAAGCUUAGAAGGACCAGACCCGACAUGGCACUCAAGAUCAGAGAAGAGGUUAAGAAACAGUUUGAUGCUGGCUUUUUAGCUAUUUUUGAGUAUCCACAGUGGGUUGCUAAUAUCGUUCCAGUUCCGAAGAAGGACGACAAAGUCAGAAUGUGUGUAGAUUACCGAUACCUCAAUAAAGCGAGCCCAAAGGAUGAUUUCCCUUUGCCUAAUAUUGAUGUUUUGGUUGAUAAUACAACUCAAUUUUCCGUAUUUUCCUUCAUGGAUGGUUUCUCAGGGUAUAAUCAGAUAAAGAUGUCGCUAGAUGAUAUGGAGAAGAUAACCUUAAUCACACCUUGGGGAACUUACUUCUACAAAGUAAUGUCGUUCGACUUGAAUAAUGCAGGGGCAACAUAUCAACGUGCCAUGGUAACCAUCUUUCAUGAUAUGAUUCAUGAAGAGAUUGAGGUUUAUGUGGACGACAUGAUUGCCAAAUCUAGAACUGAAGAAGAUCACUUAGAAAACUUGAGGAAGUUGUUUGCCAGGCUUCGAAAGUUCAAGUUGCGUCUGAAUCCAGCAAAGUGCACUUUUGGGGUCCGAUCUGGUAAGCUAUUGGGUUUCAUAGUCAGUCAAAAAGGUAUUGAGGUUGAUCCCGACAAAGUUCAAGCCAUCCAAGAUAUGCCACCUCCCUGAACAUAAAAAGAAGUCGGAGGUUUCCUUGGUCGACUCAAUUACACUUCCAGAUUCAUAUCACAUUUGAUAGCUACCUGCGAACCGAUAUUCAAAUUAUCGAGGAAGAAUCAAUUAAUUGUGUGGAAUGACGAUUGUCAAAUAGCAUUUGAUAAAAUAAAAAAGUACUUGCAAUAACCACCAAUCCUCAUACCACCGGUUCCUAGUAGGCCUCUUAUUAUGUACCUCACGGUACUUGAUAAAUCCAUGGGAUGCGUUUUGGGUUAGCACGAUGAUACAGGCAAGAAAGAACAUGCAAUAUACUACCUUAGCAAGAAAUUUACUGAAUGUGAGACUAAAUACUCAUUUUUAGAAAAGACUUAUUGCACUUUGGCUUGGGCUGCUCGACGCCUAAGACAAUACAUGAUUUGCCAGACUACUUUAUUGAUAUCCAGGAUGGAUCCAAUAAAGCAUAUAUUCGAAAAGCCUGUUGUUACUAGUAGAAUUGCUCGGCGGCAAAUAUUGUUAACCGAAUAUGAUAUCCAGUAUGUAACUCAGAAAGCAAUAAAGGGGAGCAUUCUGUUUGACUACCUUUCUCAUUUACCUGUGGAAGGUUAUCAACCGUUGAGGUUUGAUUUCCCUGACGAAGACAUCGUGUUUAUCAUAUACUUCACUAUGCUAGGCUCUAAGAUAAACCCUGAGGAAGGCCCCGAACCAGGAUCGCGAUGGACGCUCAUGUUUGAUGGUGCUUCCAAUGCUCGUGGUCAUGGCAUAGGCACAAUUAUUACUUCUCCAACUAGUUUCCACCUUCCAUUCACCGCUAGAUUAUGCUUUGACUGCACCAACAACAUGGCAGAAUACAAGGCAUGUAUCUACGGUAUGGAGGCGGCCAUCGACUUAAGGAUCAAGAUUCUUGAGGUAUACGGAGAUUCAGCUCUGAUAAUAAUUCAUGUAAAAGGUGAUUGGGAAACUAGGGAGAGCAAGUUGAUACCUUAUAAAGAGCAUAUCAGAAAACGGAUACCCUACUUUGGUGAAGUAUCUCUUCAUUAUAUUCCUAGGGAAUAAAAUUAGUUGGUAGAUGCUCUUGCUAUGUUGGCAUCUAUGUUUAAAGUCAAAUGGAAGAAUGAAGAACCUACUAUCCAUACUGACCACUUAGAUGAACCAGCACAUUGUCUAGAAAUCGAGGCAGAUCCUGAUGAUAAGCGCUGGUUCUAUGACAUAAAGACAUUCCUGGAGAAACUGCAAUAUCCCGAGGGUAUAUCUAUUACUGAUAAGAAGACCUUGAGAAGACUCUCUUCCAAGUUUUUCUUAAAUAGUGAUGUGUUAUAUAAAUGAAAUUAUGAUUUCGUACUGCUCAGAUGCAUGGAUAGACAUGAAGCUAGUACAAUCAUAAAAUCCAUACAUGAAGGCUACGAGGGUGUACAUGCGAAAGGUCCUGCUAUGGCUAAGAAGAUCCUCCGGGUUGGGUAUUACUGGACGACAAUGGAGGUUGACUGUUACAACUUUGUUAGAAGAUGCAACAAAUGUCAAAUAUAUGGUGACAAGAUCUUUGUGCCACUAACUUCGUUGAAUGUUCUGACGUCUCCAUGGCCCUUUUCUAUGUGGGGUAUCGAUAUGAUUGGGAUGAUAGAGCCUAAAGCUUCCAAUGGUCAUCGAUUCAUCCUAGUUGCCAUCGAUUACUUCACGAAAUGGGUCAAAGCUGAUUCAUAUGCCAAUGUCACUCGACAGGUGGUUACUCGAUUUAUCAAGAAAGAGAUAAUUUUUCUCUAUGGAAUUCCUAGCAAGAUCAUCACUGAAAAUGCUAGUAAUAUCAAUAAUAAUAUGAUGAAGGAAUUGUGUAAAGAAUUUAAGAUCGAGCACCACAACUCUUCACCAUACCGGUCCAAGAUGAACGGUGUCUUAGAAGCAGCUAAUAAGAACAUCAAGAGAAUCGUCCAGAAAAUGGUCAAGACAUAUAAGGAAUGACAUGAGAUGACACCCUUUUGCUCUGCACGGUUACAGGACCUAAAUUCACACAUCCACUAGGGCAACUGCAUACUCACUAAUGUAUGGGAUGGAAGUUAUUCUACCGAUUGAAGUCAAGAUUCCUUCGCUCAGAGUCAUCGUGGAGGUUGAUCUCGAUGAAGAUGAAUGGGUUAAUUGCGGUAUGGCUAGCUUAAUCUAAUAGAAGAAAAAUGUUUGACGACUGUUUUCCAUGGUCAGUUGUACCAAAGACGCCUCAAACGAGCUUUUGAUAAGAAAGUUCUUCCUCAUGAGUAUCGCGUAGGAGAACUCGUGCUCAAAAGGUAUUCUUCUAUUCACUCAAAUCCUCAGGGAAAAUGGACUCCCAACUACGAAAGACCUUUUAUCAUUAAGAAGGCCGUCUCAGGUGGAUCCCUAAUCCUCACAACAAUGGAUGGGGAAGAAUUGCCAUCGCCAGUGAAUACAUACAUAGUAAAAAAAUAUCAUGCCUAAAAAGAAAUUACAAUAAAAUCUUGCUAGAUUAAUCAUCACGAAAUUAAUCUAGGCAAAAAUGGCUAUCCCGAUGGACCAAAAAAUGAAUUGUCCAUGUAAAAGUUAGGGACCAAAUAAAAAUAUAAAGCUCGUUAGGUCGAAAACCCGAAAGGACGACUUAGGAAAAAAGGAGCAUCCCGGUGGACGAAAAGAAUAGAAAAUGUUCAGGCAAAAGUUAGGGAUAAAGGAAUUGACUAUGAUCCUUGAGCCUAUUAGCUACAAGCUAGAUCACAAAUGGUCAAAGAUCGAUCCAAUUAUCAUUAAUCAAAGCAAGGUCUUGGGAUUCAGAUCCUACAAUAGAUAAUGGACGAUGUUGUAAUCAAUGGAAAAAUACAAAAAUAUUUCCCAUUGCUAUUUCAUUUAUUUUUCAAUUUUGCGACGUCCUCUUUAAGGAUGUUUGCAUCUUUGUACACACCACAUGUACAGUUUUGUUCAUGAUCAAUAAAAUUCAAUUUCUUUUAUCGUAUGUUUUUGCUUCUCCUGCAUUUUGUUUGUGAAAUAAUUGAUUUAUUUUAAUCACAUAAAUGCUUUAAAAUUUCGGAGAAUAAUAAAAGCUACGUUAAAAUAAAACUUUAUGCAUUGCUGUAAACUCCCGAAAGACUUAAAAAGAUGACCGAUAGUUUGAAAGUUUCGCUUGAACGCCUGCAUUUGUCUUGAUAAUUGCUUGGAUUGAUCAUGCAUCACGUUAUUCCUCAGCAGGGUUAGGUGAAUCCUUAACAGCAGUGUUAACACCUUGAUUUCACAAUAUCAGUCUCUUUGGUACAGUUGAUGAUGAGUCAAAAUUCCCUCCAUACCAAAGAACCAUACCCCGUGAAUAACAUCCGUCGGACCAGAUAGACAUUCAUGCAUCAUGAAAAUAAAGCAUACGUCACGCAACAUGCAUAUCUUUCUCUCCAUGCAUAAUUUCCCACAGAAUAUCAAGAACAUAUGUGUACUUCAGCAGUAUGGCCAUCCGUUCGGGAAUUUUUUUGAAUACGUUAGUAUUUAAUCCUCUCCUACCCAGAAUACCUGAAAAAAUUCUGAAAUUCUUGUAUUCAGGUUCAAGAAGAUUAAAUAGGGGAAGCUGUUAUACCCCAAAAUUUUCCCUCCCCUUUUUCAUCUUUUCAUACAACCACUUGACUUGGGGAUCAUUUGCAUAUAUUCAUAACUCAUUCAUAUGUAUCAUUCAUCCAUUAAUGGAUCACUAUAGAUUCAAAGCUCUUGGCUUGUGAAGCUAGGGUUUGUGUAUGGAUCAAACUUCCAAAGUAUGGCUUGGCUAUUCAUCAAAGCAUAUGGGAUGUGAAACCCUAUUUGUCUGAUUUUGGAGAUGUGGACUUAACAAGGUUCCAUCAAAGCAAUCCUCAAGGGUUCCAAACCCUAGUUCUUGAUUAUAUGAUAAUGGGAUCCUAUGGAGCUUCUCUGGGCCUUGUCUUGGCUAUCAAAACCCUAAUGGGUGGGCUCAUACAUUGGAAAACUUGCUUGUGAAGCAUUUUGAUUGAUUCAAAGGCCUUGUUUGAAGGGUACACCUCAUUGAAACCCUAAUCAAGGAGGGUAUGGUCCUAAUGGGCCUUGUGGCUUGAAUUUCCAUAUGGUGACAUCCUAAACCCUAAUUUCUUGAUCUUGGACUUUAUUAUGGCAUACCUUAGGUCAUCUAAACCCUAAUAUGGUCUCAUUUUCAUUGGUGGGCCUCCUAACUAUAGUUACAAUUGUUGUGUGCUUCACUCAGCUUCUCAUUCAUGUUAUGGCUUUAGUUUUGGUUCCGUUCAUUUGUGCUUAAGUCUCUUGGUGCUAGCCCAAGAUCUUGACCUUACAAACCUCAUCUAAAUCGAUUCAUUCAUCUGAUCAUGAUCAUGAUAUCUUUGUUUGGACCAUGGUUUUGUUUGUGUCCUAGUACUUUGCAUUCGAUUGGCCUUGCUUAAGACUUUGUGGUUUUCUUGCAUGUGUCAUCUAUGGUUUUUGAUGAGAUUUUAUUCAAAUCCAUUUCAAGCAUGUCCAAGCUCACUCAUUAAGUCCAUUUUAUCACAUGAUCAUUCAAGUCCAAAUUCAAAUUAUUUCAAAUAACAUGUUCAUAUAAUAAAUCAAUUCAUUUUCAUUUUCAUUCAAUUGGCCAAUCCAAUUCAUUUGUUAUCCACAAAUUGUUCAUUAUAUAAAAAAUGCCAAAAAAUACAUGUGGACCAAAUGUUGACUUUGAUCAAUAGUUAACUUUUUGGUCAACUUUGACCAAAGUCAACUUAACUCUUUUUCCAUCCUAAACCCUAAUUUCUUUAAUCCUAUUCCUAAUCCCAAGGUUUCCAUGUUGAUUCUUGAUGCACCAUUUGAUCUUUUGUUUCAAAUUCAACUUGGUGCCAUCUUUGGUUACAUGCCUUGUUUAACCAUUCACACCAUGGUCAUGACUAACAAAUAUGUACAUUAACCAAGUUCUCAAAGCCAAUAUCCAUUCAUGAAGUUCUAAAUUCAACAUUUCCAAUGAAAGGUUACAAAACUCCCAUUUUAAAAAUCAAGACACAUGCCAUAAUGAAACCAUCCAUAACCAUGCUAUCUGUAACCAUGGAAAAGGUCAAUUACAUUCUAAGUACAUUUUAAGUUAACAAUUACUACGCUAACAUCAGAAUAGUCCAUCAUAGGAGCUCAAAUGGAGAGGGUUACACCAUGACAUCAUUGCCACAUGAUUGGAAUUGAACCAAGGAAGAAUGCUGCCCUUUCAGCAUCAUCAACAAUAGGGUCCUUGCAUUAUCCAUGCCACCAUCCUGCAACACCAUGGAAAACCAACAAAUGAAGGCAGCUCCAAGAGGAACAUAACUAAAGCAGUAUCACACAUGGUCCCUGGGUUAGCAAUGGACUGUCACAUGUGUUCAUCCACACACCAGUCAGUAGCAGUAAAAGUCACAUACAAAAGAAAAAAAUCAGUCCAUGGAAAAGUUUGAAUACUGGCAUUUGAGGCAACCAUCUCAUUGCCUACAUUUCUUGCACUUCAAGCAUAACAAACCAUCAGUCAAACCAGUUCAAGGAUCACAAACCAAACUGAAGGCAAGGUUGCACACAAACUGAACCUAACAUAGCAACGUACAACCAUGGAUCUAACAUCCACAUGAUAGGCAGCAUGAGUAUGCCAAGAUAUUCACAUUAUAUCAAUGCAAUGGAGCAACAGUCAUCACAUACUGCAUCCGAUUUUCACAAGCCUACAAGCACUAACAUUGAACCAAGUUUGAACCAAAAUGGACAAAUCUGCAUAUUUGGCUCCAUAACCAUUGCUAUUGUAUGAUACCAGCAAGUCAAGCAAAGGUCUUUUUUUGAAUUUGGUCUAUCAAAUGAAAGUGUUACCAGCAAAAUACAAGGCCAUUAAGUUGUAACAGGAAUCAAGACCAUACACAUACACCUGUCAAAGCUGUAAUGGAUUCAAGUAGACAUUCAUAAAUGGCAGUGGUGUAGAGCAAAAAAACCAAACAAGCAUACCAUACAUUUCUAAUAAUCUAACAUCAAAAUACCAACAAUAACAUGUGAACAACAAAAACCCACAAUAGCAAUACAUAGCUCACAUGAUGCAUGGUAACAUUCAGCAACACAAAUCAUAUAGCACUUAACAACUUGCCUCAUGUAGCGGGGUAUUCGUUACCAUUAGAGAUAUUGAAUAAAUCCAAGGUAAAUCAUACAAGCCGAGUCGCCACCGCACUUUUAUUUAUCCAAAGGAAUGGUUAGAAAGCGAACAAAAACCUAAAAAUUUUAUCGAAUCAAAAACUAGUAAAAAUGUCAGAAAUCUGGGUAAGGGGGUUGUUUAUGCAAUGGGAAGGUUUUAGGCACCCAAAACAUCCUAGGUACUCCUAGGGAGCCCUUUUCACAUUUGUUGUAAGGUUGGUGUUUUGUCAAAAUUUAUUUGUGCAAACAUGAUUGAAGAGAUGAGAAGAGAAUGUACAAGUUUAUUUACAUUUUGUGUUUGGAUGGAUGAACCCAUUGCCUACGUACCAUCUUAAAAGAUUAGGAUCAAAACCUCGUAGUUCGGGGUAAAAAUCUAAAAAAAAACAAGUUGGUGAAUUGAUUGGUCCAAAAGCCUUAAGGUCUUUUGUUAUCCAAGGGAGAAAACUCAACCUAAAACCACAAAUCCACCAUAUGAGGAUAGCUUCAACAUGCUAGUGAGGGGUUAAUAAGCAUGGAAGACCAUCGUCCAUCACUAAGGUAUAGGGUGAGUAUUACAUCUACCUCAAGGAUAACUCAACCUAAUAGCUAAAGGUUAUGAAAAAGUUUUGUUACGAGAGUGCGCCAUAAACCACAAAAGACAUUUGAAUGGGUUAUAUUUACCAAUGAAAAGUAUUUACAAAAUAUGGUCAAAGUUGACUUAAAGAUUCAAUUCAAAAUAAGUGUUAUGGAAAGAAAGUUUGAAAAUCAAAAGCAUAAGGCUUAGGUUUCUAAUGUUGAAAACAAGUGUUAAAUGUUUGCACAAAAGUUUUGGCUUGGGUUAGAGUGGAGAGAAGAAGAAAAAUGGAUAAAGUCCUAACAUACAAGAGGUAAGGAAUAAAUAAUAAGACCACACAUGAAGUUCCUCUCUUGAGAUCAUAUUGAUGAUCCAAGUAGCUCCCAUCCUUUGGAAUAAGCAAUCACAUAAGCAUAAACUCAAGCAAUCAACAAUCAAUGAACUCUUGGAAAGCUCCUCAAUGUAUCUUGGAUUUCUCUCUCUUAGAAGCUCAUGGCAAUGGUUCCUCAAUUUGGCUCAAAGUUGGAAUCCCUAUCACAAAAAAACACACACAUCAAAAGGUUCUAUUAAUAAUCAAAGAAUGGACAAGAGGGAGUUUAGAGUAUGGUCCUUUCAAUGUUCAUCUUCUAGUUUUAAGCAUUCUAAAGGCAUGAGGCCUAGUUGCUCUUUGACAUUUAAGCACUCUAAAGGCAUGAGGCCUAGUUGCUCUUUAAACUCCAUUAGCUUGGGUAAGGUCCUAAAGUCUAAGUUCAUUUUGUCCAAUUCUUUGCAUUGUGGUCAACAACAAUCAAACAAAACACAAGCACAAAAGUAUAUACACAAUUAUGUGCUCAAGUGAGCAAAAGGCAAAUUGCAUUAACAUAAACAUGUGCUCAAGUGAGCAAAGGAAAAAGCAAUUGAAUAAUAUGUACAAGAAUAGUAAAUUGCAUAAAAGUAAAGAGCAAAAAGUGAAGGUUAAUUGUUAAUGGUUAGUGUUAGUAGUUAGUGUGCCAUAAGGCAAAUUUAGCGCUAUGUUAAGCAAUCGUAAUUGGACUUAUGUAGAAGUCACAACUAUCUGAGGCCGGUCAAUAAUAAUGUAGGCAACAACACAAGUUAGAAGUCUUGAUUAGUGAACCAAGUUCCAACAACUUGCCAUGCCAAAAAGAAAAUGAGAAUUGAUCUUGUAUUGGUUUAAGCCUUUUGCAUGAUUUAGAAAACAACCUAUCCUUAAUGCAAAGCCAUUCACUUGAUCAAUUGAUCAAGAUGAAUUAGAUUUGAAUCAAGGAAGAUUAAAUCUCCCUAAUCAAUGCUAACUUAUCAACCUUCAACUCAUUGAUCAAGAAGAAGAGAAGUAGAAGAAGAAGAAGGAGAAGAUGGAUAAGAGAAAUGGAAAUGGCAAAAUUAAAGUGCAUUAAAUGAAAUACAAUGUACCAAUCCUCAUAUGUUGACCAAUAACAUUGAAAGUCAAGGUCAAACAAUCAAAAACAGAAGUGAGAUGAAGAUUGGAAAUCAAGAAAUGAAUAAAAUAUUUUUGGCAUUUUUUAAUAUUUAAAAUAAACUUGAAAUAAAAAUAAUGGAAAGGUCAAACUUCAAAAUCACUUCAAAUCAACCUUGAAAGGUCCAAGUGAUUUAUCCCAAGUUCAACAAGGUCAAACAAAGUUUGACAAAAAAUUUCAGCAUUUUUAAAAGUCAGAAACUAUUUUUAAUCAAUUAAAAAUGAAUAAAAAUAACCUAAUUGAACUAAAAUCUCAAAUAAAUCUCAAAUCAAUUAAAAAAUUGAUGAGAAUAUUUUUCAUAGAUCCAUCAUCAUUCAAAUAGGUUAGGAAAAUAUUUUUGUAUUUUUUGAAUAUUAAAAACUAUUUAAAAUGAAUUAAAAAUAACCAGAAAAGAGAAAAUUCACAAAAAAUAUCAAAUGACAAAAUAAAAAAUAUUAAAAAUCAUAUUUAGAAACUAGAAUUUAAAUAGAGAAGAAUGCAAUUGGUCUCAUAUUUUUUGGAAUUAAAAUGAAGAAGUUAUGAAUUUUUGAAAAUAAAGGAAAUAAAAGAAAUAAAAUCAGAAAUUAAGAAAAUCAAAAAAACCACAAGCGUCUGAUCAAGCCUCAUUAAUUGACGUGGCUGAUCAGACGGAUGUGAGAUAUGCGCUCAUGGUGAGUCCAAGUCAAACGCGUCACACCUAACAUUAAAGCAAGUAAUCCAAAGGCAUGGCUAAGAUUAAAACGUGGGAGAUGCAUCCAACAAUCCAGAUUGAAUCUGGCAUGGUGGACGGUGGCCAGCACCACCGCCUUAUCCGGCGAGCACUCAAGCUCCGGCCAUAGUUGGAGGUCCUCCAAACUCAACCAAAACUCACGAUCCAGGUACCAAAUUAAAGCUGGGGUGAUGUACAUCACCCAUAUGCCAUCUAUUUCUACUCUAGAUCUUCAUAGUGAGAGAAAUCAGAGGUUGAAACUUGAUGGUGUUCAUCAUAAACUUGCUUGAUUUUGAAAAUUGAUCAUACAUCAAUGGUGCCUCUAUAGAGAGGACUUCAGACAACACAAUAGCCAAGCAAAUAGAUCAAGGAAUAAGGAGUUUCGAAGAAAAAACCAGUUGAAGCAAACCUUUGAAUUGUGAAGAUCUGAGCUCCUUUCCUUGGUUCUUUUGUCAAAACAGAAGUUCAAUGGAUUAUAUGAUGAAGGUCUAGGAACUUUAGAUCUAAAGAUUCAACCAAAUUCAACUAAAUUUUAGAUCUGAAAAAUUGAAGAAAAUGUGAACUAGUUCCUUUAGGUAUGGCUAGGUUUUGAUUUCUGCAGCAUUUCAGAUUGAUUCAGGGUCCAGAAUUAUGAAGCAUACCAUGUCUAUUUAUAGAUGGAAUUGGCUGAGCAAGUGAAAAUUCUCGUGUGCAUGGCAAGUGGAUAUUCUUUGCAUGGGCUUGCAUGAUCAUGUAGAAGGCCCAAACUCAAUUGCAUUUGCAUGCUGAUGACCAAACAACUUGAAAUGGACGUGCAGAUGGCAAUGCAAUGGCUUGUGCAAUGAGUUUCAACAUGUUAUGCAUAAUUGAGCCUAAAACUUCACCUCUUCGAAAAUGCCACUUGGAAAAUUGAAACAUAGGCAUGUAGGUAAUGGUUGGAAAGGACUUGACAUAAGGAACAAAUGUUAUGUUGAGCAAAAACCCAUUUUGAAUGUGGAAAUUUAUGAAAACAGGCCAUGAAUUUCAUAGUGCAAAACAUGCCAUUGAGAAUUUUGCCAAAUUGGUCCAACUUCAAGCCCUUCUGUUUUGAUGAUUCCAGCCCCAAAUGGAAACACUUCCAACAUCAAAGUUAUAGGUCUUUUCAAUAAAAUCAAAAUGGACUUAAAUUUUGCAUCAUUUGGAUUUUUGAUGAAGGAGUUAUGGGCACUUGAAGUUGGACUUUUUUGCCUUUCAAUGCAUUUGGUCCAAAGUGACCUAUAAUGUUUUGCAUUAUCACAUGUAUUUCCUUUGAGAUUUUGAAAUUUUGUUCAACAUAACAUUUGAAGUAGACAUCUUAAGCUUUCCAAUUAAUUUUAUACCACCUCAAAAUCAUAAAAAAUGAAUGAUUUAUGUUCUUGGGAAUUUGACCCAAAAUUAGGGUUUCAGUCAAAAUGACCUAUAAUGUCUUGGAAUAGGAGAUGACCUUCCAAGCUUCAAAUAAAUUUUUGAUGAACAUGAAAGUUGUUCAUAUUGUCCUUAAGAACAUUAUUUCUUUUGGGAUCAUCCCCAUUUGACCAACACAUAAAAAGUUAGGUCUCAGUGUACUUCAAAAUGGUCAGAUGGAUUGACUGAUCAACUUCUCAAGUCCACAACUCGUAUCUUGAUGAAUUGAUGAUUGAGGACACUCAAAUAAGUUCAAAUAUGCAUGAAAUUAUGAAUUAAAGAACUUCCCUUGAUUGUAUUUGANCCAAAUUGGUCCAACUUCAAGCCCUUCUGUUUUGAUGAUUCCAGCCCCAAAUGGAAACACUUCCAACAUCAAAGUUAUAGGUCUUUUCAAUAAAAUCAAAAUGGACUUAAAUUUUGCAUCAUUUGGAUUUUUGAUGAAGGAGUUAUGGGCACUUGAAGUUGGACUUUUUUGCCUUUCAAUGCAUUUGGUCCAAAGUGACCUAUAAUGUUUUGCAUUAUCACAUGUAUUUCCUUUGAGAUUUUGAAAUUUUGUUCAACAUAACAUUUGAAGUAGACAUCUUAAGCUUUCCAAUUAAUUUUAUACCACCUCAAAAUCAUAAAAAAUGAAUGAUUUAUGUUCUUGGGAAUUUGACCCAAAAUUAGGGUUUCAGUCAAAAUGACCUAUAAUGUCUUGGAAUAGGAGAUGACCUUCCAAGCUUCAAAUAAAUUUUUGAUGAACAUGAAAGUUGUUCAUAUUGUCCUUAAGAACAUUAUUUCUUUUGGGAUCAUCCCCAUUUGACCAACACAUAAAAAGUUAGGUCUCAGUGUACUUCAAAAUGGUCAGAUGGAUUGACUGAUCAACUUCUCAAGUCCACAACUCGUAUCUUGAUGAAUUGAUGAUUGAGGACACUCAAAUAAGUUCAAAUAUGCAUGAAAUUAUGAAUUAAAGAACUUCCCUUGAUUGUAUUUGAUCAUGGGCCGAGGUUGCUUCAUGAGCAAGGCACAGUUGGAUGAACAAAUGAAUUAGGGUUUCCUUGGGAACAAACCUCAAACCCUUUGACUUGCUUUGAUCAAAAUGAUGAAUUGAGAUACUAGGGAGGCAUAUUUGAUGGAUGAGAGAUUUUGGAACCAUUACCAUGCUUGUUUUCAUCUUCUCUUGACCAUAUCUUUGCACAAAUGAUCUCAUAGGAGCUCUUGACCUUGUGAUUGCUCAAGCUACAAAUAAAAGAUGUUAGUGACAUAUUUUUGUGCUUUUGGUUAGUAAAUAAAAUGAGAAAAGCAAUAAUAUACAAUUCAAGCAUGCUUGGUGAUCUCAAACCACUCACAAGAAGUCCCAACCAAAGGCAAAGGGAACCAAGAUGCUCAUGAUCCUUGAGGCUUUGCAAAUGCAAUGUUAUGAUGCCAUGAGGGAUCUUAGGACAAAAUUGGGGUCUUACAGAUGCCCCUAUUUAAGGUCAUUCUAGCCGGAGAAGUAAAGGUUAAAAUCUUCGUCUCGACGAGGUAGAAUGGGCUUAAAUAAUAACAGAGAGACAAAUUUUGGUCCCUAAGAGACCUCAUGAUGCGAAUGCAUGUAUGCAAAAGGUAAUACUCUGUGGAGAUAUGUGUCCACACAGAAAGAAAAGAAAACAGGAGAAACUGAUAAUCCAUAUGAGUAAUUUACUCCAUGGAUCAAAGACUCUAGGACUCUCAUGGGGAUAAGGAAAGGAAUAAAAAGCGUGAGUAGGUCACGACUUGAAACGUGGGGAGCAGAACUCAAAAGGGGUAAGUCAAUGGAAAGACCCGAGCUGACUCAAAGGAGCGUAUAUUGGGGAAUAUGCCAAUACAGCAGAAAUUAUCCAUAACGGAUACUUCGGGUAAAAAUCCGGACUCAGGCUGGGAGAAUCCACUAAGGGACCUCGCUGGGGAAAACCCGAACAAAAACUCCUCUGAGGAAGCAACAGGAUGAGGUAUUACCGGUUACUGGGUAAUAAGCUCAAAGAGACAUAUGAUCUGAACACCGGUAUAAGGGUGAGGGAACAACAUGCUCGGGGGAAUGAAUAUCUAAGACCUGUAUAAAGGUGAGAGAUAUCAAAUGUCCGAAAUCAUCUGAGGAAGACCUAAAAAGGUAUACUUCAGCUCAGGAAAAUCUGACUCCGCAAGGGGACAAAAAGUCAUAAUAGGGAGCAGAGAGGAAGGAACACCAGGGAUACCGGUUACUGGGAAUAUAAUAGGUGACCAACCAAAGCGUGAAUUGGGGAAUAUUCCCAAGACACUCAUCAUCCAAAAGAGGGCUAAAAGCAAACUCAAAUAUAGGAUGGACAUUCGAUUCCAAAAAAAAGGGAUACGAAUCUUACUCGACUGGGGAAGAACAAAAGGCUUCGACCAAAGAGUGCAUGAUAUAUAUUAUCUAUUACUGUCAGAACAUAGAUAACAUACUCGCAUGGAAGAUUAUCCACAACCGGUUACUGGGUUAAUAAAGGAUAAAUCGACAGACAGAGAAAGGCAUCGGGAUACCGAAUACUGGGUAUAAAAUGAUGACCAAUCCUGGGGAGAAGCAAUCGUCACCAACAACAAAGGGUAGACGAGAGAUGACUCGCUGGGGAUAAAUCGCUUGAUCAAAGCAAUUAUCCAAAAGAUGAGGGAAUAUCAACACCGAAUAUUUGGAUGAAGAUAACCGUCAAUGAGGGGAUUACAUCUAUCGGAUACUGGGUAGAAAACCACGGAGAAGUAACCGUCAUCGGUUAGGAUGAGCAAAAGGUUAACUCUGCAAGGGGAAAAAAUAGGGUUUACAACUACCAGCAUGAAGGUAGAGAAUCGCAAAAAUAGGACUUAUAACCACCGGUAUUAGGGUAGAAGGCCACAGACUCCGCCGGGGAUAAGAUGAAUAAUUACUGGUUACUGAGCAAUCAUUCAUUUACACCAUAGGGGAGUGCAAGAAGCGGCCAAAAGAGGCCAAUCUAGGAUCAAACUAGAUGGGCACGCUGAAACAAAACUUGUCCCUAUGAGGAUAUAACUCAAUGGGGAACUCCAUCCCAAUAUAUGUGUUGGGAGGAAAACAGAAGCAACCAUCAUCCACGAGGGUAUAAGAUAUAACUCAAUGGGGAACUCCAUCCCAAUAUAUGUGUUGGGAGGAAAACAGAAGCAACCAUCAUCCACGAGGGUAUAACUCAGUGGGGAAUAUGGAAGGAAAGAUGAACACUUUCUGCUUAUGGGAUAACCCUAUAUGGAGAGAUCAACCGCCAACAUCUGCUUGGGGAACAUAACACCCUCAAACAAGAGAUAACAAACAAAGAUAUAUGUCAAACAAAUGCGACAUGAAUGUUAUCAAUAUGCGCAUAUGUAUGGUUUUUGUAUGAUGAAUGCUGACAAACAAACAUUUCUAACACAAACAGGUCCAACGAACAAAUACACAAACAUCCGGUACUACAUCUCAAGAGAGAGAGCCAGGACCACGAAGAUCUCCGCAGGGGAAAGAGAAAAACAUUCCAGCUGGGGGCAAAGAUCAUCAAAAUCUGCCAUGGAAGCACUCUACUGGGGAAAUUAUCAGAGGAGAUCAUGGAACUCUGUGGGGAACAACCACCAACAAGAAGUCUCCAGGGGUCAUCAAAUACUGUCCCAAAUAAUGAGAUCACAUCUGCUGAGGAGGAAGAAUCACUAUUCUGCUGUAGGAAAGAGGGAUGAAUAAAUCUUCCCCACAAUCCGCUAGGGGAAGAAACCACAAAAGGCUCAGGAGGAAGAGGACACAAAUAAGCCAGGAAUAGGAACAAAUGUCUUACCCUGUCGAGAAUCUUACCAUCUUUGGGAGAGCACUGAAGACAUCCCCAGAAUCCCUUUCAUCAUUGUGAAUGUUCACUUUGUUUAAAAACAAAUUAUAAAAGAUUUGAAUAAAACAAUGAUAUUUUUUCAAUUAAAACAUGCAAAACAUUUGUUGAAUAGAAACAAAUAAGAGUGCAAUUUUUUUUGGAUAAAGGCUCAAGUUUAUUUGAUAGGAUGGUAGCCUGCAAAUGGCAAGAGUCCAUAAAUCUUUUCAAAUUUGAAAUUGGUGAUAUAUAUUGGAAAAGGACUACAUUGAACAUAAUGACCAUUUCUCCACCAAUUCUGAAUCCAACGUAUUUGGAGCUUUGGUUGAUGAUGAAUGAGCGAGAACCUCUGACGGAUGACAGCUUGUAGAACAAAGUCUUGUCAGGAUGCAGUUACUUGCCAAAUCCCUAUUUUUUGCCUAGAUUGCCCCAGGGUGAGGUACUCAAUCUAGCGGGAUACAUAUAUAUUUUUUUAUGUCUCUAAUUUUUGCCUGGAUCGCCCUUUCGGGUUUUCAAUCCACCGAGACGCUCAUUUUUUCCUAAGUCGCCCUUUCGGGUUUUCAACUUAGCGAGCUAUUAUGUUUUUAUUCAUUUAGGCAAAGUAUUUCUUGACUGCAUCUGAAUUCACAGGACGAGUGAGAUCCUCCCCAUCCAUAGUUGUAAGUAUCAAUGCACCGCCUGAAAAGGCUUUCUUAACAACAUAUGGACCUUCAUAGUUUGGAGUCCACUUGCCCCUGGAAUCGGGCGCGAAAGACAAGACUUUCUUGAAUAGUUGUAAGUAUCAAUGCACCGCCUGAAAAGGCUUUCUUAACAACAUAUGGACCUUCAUAGUUUGGAGUCCACUUGCCCCUGGAAUCGGGCGCGAAAGACAAGACUUUCUUGAGCACAAGGUCGCCCUCUCGGAACACACGAGGCUUCACCUUCUUAUCAAAGGCUUUCUUCAUCCUUUGCUGAUAUAACUGACCGUGGCACAUGGCAGUCAAUCUCUUCUCUUCAAUCAAAUUCAACUGAUCAUAACGACUCUGAACCCAUUCAGCAUCAGUCAACUUGGCUUCCAUCAAGACUCUCAUUGAUGGGAUCUCCACCUCUACUGGGAGCACAACCUCUAUGCCGUGAACAAGAGAGAAAGGGGUUGCCCCUGUUGAAGUGCGGACAGAUGUACGAUAUCCAUGUAAAGCAAAUGGCAGCAUCUCAUGCCAAUCUUUAUAUGUGACAACCAUCUUCUGGAUAAUCUUCUUGAUAUUCUUAUUAGCAGCUUCAACAGCCCCACUCAUCUUGGGUCUGUAAGGAGAAGAAUUAUGAUGUGCUAUCUUGAACUCGCUACAUAGCUCCUUCAUCAUCUUGUUGUUCAAGUUAGAUCCAUUAUCCGUAAUGAUCUUAUCUGGCACACCAUAUCGGCAUAUGAGUUGAUUCUUGAUAAACUUCACGACCACCUGCCUGGUCACAUUUGCAUAUGAUGCCGCUUCAACCCACUUAGUGAAGUAAUCAAUUGCUAAGCACACCAUAUCGGCAUAUGAGUUGAUUCUUGAUAAACUUCACGACCACCUGCCUGGUCACAUUUGCAUAUGAUGCCGCUUCAACCCACUUAGUGAAGUAAUCAAUUGCUACGAGAAUAAAUCUGUGACCGUUAGAUGCUUUCGGUUCUAUCAUGCCAAUCAUGUUGAUCCCCCACAUGGAGAAGGGCCAUGAUGAUGAGAUCACAUUCAGAAGUGUCAGAGGAAUAUGAAUCUUAUCCGCGUAAAUCUGACACUUGUGGCAUUUCUUCACAUAUUUGCAUCAGUCAGACUCCAUUGUCAGCCAAUAGUAGCCUGCUCUCAAUAUCUUUCUAGUCAUGGAAUGUCCAUUGGAAUGUGUACCAAAUGAACCCUCAUGGACCUCAGUCAUCAACAAGUCUGCUUCGUGUCUAUCCACGCAUCUGAGCAGCACCAUGUCAAAAUUUCUCUUAUAAAGUACAUCACCAUUGAGGUAGAAACUGCCAGACAAUCUCCUCAAAGUCUUCCUAUCUUUCACAGAUGCACCAGGUGGGUAAAUCUGGCUCUGAAGGAAACACUUGAUAUCAUAAUACCAUGGCUUAUCAUCUUUCACCUCUUAUACUGCAAAUACAUGAGCUGGUCUAUCCAAGUGCAUCACAAUGAUAUUGGGAACUUCAUUCCAAAGUUUUACCACAAUCAUCGAAGCAAGUGUAGCAAGGGCAUCUGCCAUCCGAUUCUCAUCUCGAGGAAUAUGAUGGAAGUCAACCUUAGUAAAGAAUGUUGAAAUCCUCCUCGCAUAAUCCCUAUAUGGAAUGAGGCUAGGCUGAUUCGUUUCUCAUUCACCCUUAAUCUGAUUAACAACGAGGGCUGAAUCACCAUAUACAUCAAGAUGCUUGAUCCUUAAAUCGAUGCACUCCUCCAAUCCCAUAAUACAGGCCUCAUACUCAGCCAUAUUAUUCGUGCAUUUGAAAGUUAGCCUUGCUGUAACAGGAAAAUGUGUGCCCUGAGGAGUAAUAAUCUCUGCCCCAAUACCAUUUCCAUAUUGAUUUACAGCGCCAUCAAAUACCAUACUCCAUCUGGAACCAGGUUCUGGCCCUUCAUCGAGUGUAGGCUCAUCACAAUCUUUCAUUUUCAAAUACAGAAUCUCCUCAUCUGGGAAAUCAUACUGAACGGACUGAUAAUCCUCAAUCGGCUGAUAUGCCAAGUGGUCAGCCAAGAUACUACCUUUAAUAGCCUUCUGAGCUCUAUACUCAAUAUCAUACUCAGAUAACAACAUCUGCCAACGGGUAAUCCUUCCAGUUAAAGCAGGCUUCUCGAAGAUAUACUUGAUUGGAUCCAUUUUGGAUAUCAACCAAGUCGUAUGAUUCAACAUAUACUGGCGUAAGCGCUUAGCAGCCCAAGCCAAAGCACAUCAUGUUUUCUCAAGCAUCGAGUAGGAGGAGCUUGAAUAUCGGCGCACAUGUGGCAGUCAUGUGGGAUAUGAAUCUGGAAAUGUAAUUCAAGCGGCCAAGAAAACCUCGGACUUGCUUCUCAGUUUUGGGCGCAGGCAUCUCUUGUAUUGCCUUGACCUUUGCAGGAUCAACCUCAAUACCUCUUUCACUAACGACAAAGCCCAAUAGCUUGCCGGAACGAACUCCGAAUGUACACUUGUUGGGAUUCAGACGAAGCUUGUACUUCCUCAAACGCUAAAAAAGCUUCAACAGGUGUUCUACAUGUUCAACUUCCGUUCUUGACUUAACAAUCAUAUCAUCAACAUAUACCUCGACCUCCUUAUGCAUCAUAUCAUGAAACAAGGUAGUCAUAGCUCGUUGAUACGUGGCUCCGGCGUUCUUCAAACCGAAGGGCAUCACUCAAUAACAGAAUGUUCCCCAAGGUGUGAAAAAUGUUGUCUUCUCCAUAUCCUCGGGUGCCAUUUUAAUUUGAUUAUAUCCGGAAAAUCCAUCCAUAAAUGAGAAGACUUUGAAUUUAGCUGUAUUAUCUACCAACAUAUCAAUAUGUGGUAGUGGAAAAGCAUCUUUCGGACUAGCUUUAUUCAAGUCUCUAUAGUCCACACACAUCCGGACUUUUCCAUCUUUCUUAGGCACGAGCACAAUAUUGGCCACCUAUUGAUGAUAUGUAGAAGUCACCAGAAACCCCGCAUCAAUUUGCUUCUGAACUUCUUCUUUGAUCUUUACUGCCAUAUCAGGAUGAGUUCUUCUGAGCUUUUGCUUUACAGGCACACACUCAGGCUUCAAAGGUAGGAAAUGUUGCACGAUAUCAGUAUCUAGACUAGGCAUGUCUUCAUAUGACCAAGCGAAGACGUCAACAUAUUCUCGUAGCAACUCAAUCAACCCCUUCUUAACAGAUUCUUCCAGAAGUGCCCCAAUCUUCACUUCUCGCACACAAUCCUCAGACCCCAAGUUGACUGUUUCCAGAUUCUCAAGAUGCGGCUGAAUGAUCUUCUCUUCAUGCUCAAGUAGACGGGUAAUCUCGUAUUUCCAGAUUCUCAAGAUGCGGCUGAAUGAUCUUCUCUUCAUGCUCAAGUAGACGGGUAAUCUCGUCAGGAAUCUCUUCAACAUCAUCUUCUUCCGCCUCAAAUACAGGGAAUUCAAAGUUGGGAGACGGUGUUGGAUCAUUAUGUUCAAUGGGUUUGACUAUCCUGCAUAAUGAUUUUGGAUAUAAAAGAAAUUUAGAACUCAAACAAGGCAAAUCAUUAUGCAGAUGAAAAGAUUGAUUUUAUUCUUAUUUUUUUUUGGGUUUUUUGUGAUCACCAAUUUCAUGCAAAAAAGCGAAAAGGGAAAAUAAUUGGAAAAACAAACAUUUAACAUGAAUUUAUUGAAUGAAAAUAUCAUUGAAUUUAUGUGCCAACAAUGUCAUCACUCCUCCUUUUGGCAUGGGAGAAGGGUUUUCAAACACAAUGAACAUUACUUUGACUUAUGGAUAACUGUUGGAAUAUCCACAACGACCUAAUUAUUGCAGAUCCCUCCAGGGAUGAUGAAAUUGCCAGAAUCCUCUUCGUCCUCUUCCAAAAUGGCAUCAGCCUCUUCAUCUCGACUGUUAAACAAACCUUGCUUGUUGAAGACCCCAGAAGAAUAGCCUAUACCAACCCGGGACUUGUUGUCUUCCAACUUGAUCAUUUACCCCAAACCGGCAGUUGCACCAUGGUCAAUGGCCAACUUCGCAUCUUUAUAGGAAACAAAUGAGGGAGUUUUCUUCUUAACAGGUUCAGCAAUGGAUAAAGCUUGGAAAGGAGUUCCAACUUCAUCCUCAGCAUCUAUGUAUGAGAAAGAAGACAAAUGGCUAACCAGGAGAGCCCUUUCUCCCCCUACCACCACCAGUUUCUUGUUCUUAACAAAUUUCAGUUUCUGGUGUAGGGUGGAUGUCACGGCGCCUGCCUCGUGAAUCCAUGGUCUGCCUAAGAGACAACUAUAUGAUGGGUGAAUGUCCAUAACCUGGAAGGUAAUCUGGAAAUCACUUAGUCCAAUUUUGACUGGGAGAUCAACCUCACCAAUCACAGUUUUGCGAGACCCAUCGAAAGCCUUCACAACUACUCCAUUCUGCCUCAUGGGAGGCCCUUGAUAUGACAACUUCGCGAGAGUGGUCUUCGGCAAUACAUUCAACGAUGACCCAGUGUCCACCAAAACAUUGGACAUGGCAUCAUCUUUGCAGCUCAUAGAUAUAUGUAAUGCCAAGUUGUGGUCUCUUCCCUCCUCGGGGAGAUCAGAGUCACAAAAACUCAAAUUGUUACAAGCGGUGAUAUUUGCAACAAUUUUAUCGAACUGUUCUUGUGUGACAUCGUGAUCUACGCGCGCCACAUCCAACACCUUCUGCAGAGCUUCCCGGUGUGGUUCUGAAUUCAAUAGUAGUGAUAACACAGAUAUUUUGGAUGGCGUUUGUAGAAGCUGGUCUACGACAUUGUACUCACUUCUCUUGAUGAGCCUCAGCAUCUCAUCACAAUCUUCUUUCGUAUUGCCACUCGGGCCAACAGAAGCAGGGGUUUUCAACAUGGAGGCGGGCUUAGCAACAAGUGUCGGAUUUGGAGUGCUCACAGCAUUCCCAAUCGGGCAUUCAACAAAAUCAGCAUCAAUACUUCCUUGAGCAUCAGCUUGAGGCUUCAAUGGAGCUAAAAACACACGACCACUACGGGUCAAACCACUGACAUCAGCAAUGUUAACAACAGAUGAAGAGGGCAAGGACACCUCUUUCCCAUUUUCCACUACUACAACAUUGUAGCGAUAGGGAACCGCUUUCUCGGAGGAGUACGGUACAGGUCCGGCUGGCUUGAUAGUCAGAGCUGGAGAAACCUUCUGCUUGCUACCAUCAUACUUGAUGACAACGGGCUCAGGUAUCCGGAAUACCGGAGAAAUUACAUUGACUUCGAGCUCAUCUUCGUCAACAUUUCUGUUAUGAAGGAUCUCAAUGACUCCUUCAUCCAACAUCUCUUGAACAUCUCUGCGCACCUGGGGACACCCUCUCUGAUUCACAGAACAUACUCUGCAUCUAUUGUGGUCAUGCUCAUAAUGGCUAUAAUCACACAGCAAGCGAUGCAACUCAACCAGCGAUUGUCGGAUAUGGCUGACAUAUUUAACUUUGUACUUGCCAGGACAGUCCUGAACCAUAUUAACAGACUUCCCAUGCUCGGGCAAUGGGUUCUUUUUCACAUUUGGACCUACGUCCUCGCAAAACAAAAUCCCACUUCUCACAAGUUCUUGCACCUUGGUCUUCAAGGGAUAACAAUUUUCCACAUCGUGUCCGGGAACACCGGAAUGAUGUACACAAUGAAGCUCAGGCUUGUACCACCACUGGGGGUUAGUAGGUACGACGGGAGGAUCUCGCAAAGUGAUCAACUUUCUAUCGAUCAAAGAUGGAUAGAAUUCGGCAUAAGUCAUCGGAAUUGGAUCAAAGGUGACCCUCUUCCUCUCAUAGCUGGUGUUGAUAUUGUUGUUGUUAUUUCGAGGCUGGUGGGCCUGCUGUGGCGGACACUGUUGUUGUUGAUGUUGCUGAGUUUGCGGUUGUUGAUAAUGUUGAGCUUCCCUAAAAACAGGUGCUAUGUGAGCCACCUAAUGCUGAUCAUUGACUGGGCGAGCAAUCUUCCUCUUCAUAGAGGGUCUUCUUUUGACAUGGGAAGACACAGCAUGUGCCUCUCCCUCCUUCUUUUUUGCAAAGCUUCCAUAUCUCUUUGCUGAAGAGCCUUCAUCUCGAGUUAAACGUCCUUCACGGACCCCCUCUUCCAGUCUCAUUCCCAUAUUUACCAUCUCGGUGAAUUCUGACGGAGCACUGGCUAUCAUUCUCUCGUAAUAAAACGAGCUCAAGGUCUUUAAGAAGAUCUUGGUCAUCUCUUUCUCCUCUAGGGGAGGCACUAUCUGAGCUGCCAAUUCGCGCCACCUCUGGGCGUACUCUUUGAAGGUCUCUUUCUCUUUCUGGGACAUCACCCUCAACUGGUCUCUAUCAGGAGCCAUAUCCACAUUAUAUUUAUAUUGCUUGACGAAGGCCUCGCCCAGAUCAUUGAAAGAGCGGAUGUUCGAACUCUCCAAACCCAUGUACCACCGGAGAGCAACACCGGACAGACUGUCAUGGAAAUAGUGGAUGAGCAGUUGAUCAUUAUCAGUUUGCGUUGACAUCUUGCGAGCAUACAUCACAAGAUGACUGAGCGGGCAUGUGUUCCCCUUAUAUUUCUCAAAGUCAGGCACUUUGAAUUUAAUAGGGAUCUUCACGUUGGGCACAAGACACAACUCAUCAGAACUCUUCCCAAAAAGGUCCUUCCCCCUCAAAGUCUUCAGUUCCUUGCGAAGCUCAAGGAAUUGGUCUUUCAUGUCGUCCAUCUUCUCAUAAAUUUCUGGGCCCUCGGAUGGCUCAGAAUGAUAGAUGGUAUCUUCAACCCUUGGUAAAGUGUGCACGACAGGAGGUGGCACUGAAAGGACAGGGCUAGAUACCGGCAAAGAAGCAAGAGUUGGAGCAAAACCUUUUGGCAUAAAGUUGGCGGGCAUUCCCCAAGGGAAUUCGGCUGGCAUAGAUGGUGCAAAAUGGGCUGUUGCAGCAGGCACAGUAGAAGUUACAACCUCAGAAAUGACCGUCCUCUGGGGAGGAGUUACAGGUGUUGGAGAAGAUUGGCUCUGAGCGGCCAAGAAUGACUCCAUCAAGGCAGUCAAUCUGGCUACCUCCUCCUUCUGCUCGCGGUUCUCUUGUUCCAAAUGAUCCAUCAGUCUCGAAGAAUUGGCUCUGGUGAGUCAGCUUGUCUUUGAAAUAAAUGAAGAACACAGAGUUAGACCAUAGGACAAGAAGC